UGAGAGAGGAGAUCCGGAUGAGAGAUGAGAGAGGAGCUGCGAGACUCUAUGGCUAGAAGAAGGCGGUCAGCGAUGGAAAGAACGCCGGAGAGAAUGACGGAGAGCGCAGGAGAGCGAUAAAAGCCCUACGAGAAAUAAGAGACAUGGUUUUGGCUGUUUCUUUCUCUAGUCUUUUAUUCGAUUUGAUAAUUUUUUUUUGAGAAAAUGACUAUUUUUGUCACAAAUAUAGCCUAUAAGAAUAAAAAUGAUCAAAAUAGUACUUAAUAUUUUAUCAAAAGAGAUAAAUAUAUAUUUAUACCCCAAUGGUAAAUUAAUUUAGACAUUAGGGUUUAGAGUUAAGGGGUGAGGUUUAGGAUUUAGGGUUUAGGGUUCAGGGUUUAGAGUUUAGGGUUUAGAGUUUAGAGUUUAGGAGUGGGGUUUAGGGUUUAGAGUUUAGAGUUAAGGGGUGGGUUUAGGAUUAAGGGUUUAGAAUAUAGGGUUUAGGGUUUAGAGUUUAGGGGUGGGGUUUAGGGUUUAGGAUUUAGGGUUUAGGGUUUAGAGUUUAGGGUUUAGGAUUUAGAGUUUAGGUUUUAGGGUUUAGAGUUGGGGAGUGGGGUUUUGGGAUAAGAUUUCAAAUUUUAAAAAAUAAAAAAAAAUUAAAUUUUUCGAAAGAUAAAAUGCUAUUUUGGUCAUUUUAGUUUUUGAUUGCUAUUUUUGUAACAUAAAUUUAGAAUUGUGCUAUUUUUGAAAUUUGCCCAUUUUUUUUUAUUAGAUAAAAUACACAAACCAAACAAAUUCAUUAGGGAAAAUAUGUUGGUAUUUUUAGUUAAAUGUAUUUUUGAAAACUGAUAACCAAUGUUUUUAAAACUGGACCGACCCGAUGGUUGGACCGAGUUCGACCAUGAACCGGUUAUAUAGUCGGGUUGGUCUAGUAAUUGGUUCGACCAUGAACCGGUCACAUAGCCGGAUUAUAUUUCAAAGUUAUUAAACCAAUAAAAACCACUAAAACUAUCAAAAAUCUAUAAAUCAUUCAUAUAAACAAGAAACUAAUUUAUAUUUAUAAUAUUUUAUGUUCAAAAUUGAUUUAUAUUUUAACUAUUCACCAUGUUUACUAAUAUUAUUUUUAUAUUUACAUACUAAAAAAAUAUUAAACUAUAUUAUUGAACCAGGUUUCACCCAGUCGAAGCAUAUUGAACCGUGACCCAAAAUAUUUACGGUUCAGUUUCCGGUCCGGUUUUAAAAACACUACUGAUAACCAAUUUAUGGUAUUUAAACAAUUAUUCUUUAGUUAAUAACUUUAUAUGAAUUAUUUUAUUAUCUACGUUAAUCAGUCUAACGUAUAACAUCUACAGAAAAAUUGGCAGAAUAUAUCUUUUAUAAAACAAAUAAACAAAGAUGGAUAGAGUGAAUGAAUGGACGGAUAGACGGCUUUCAAAAGGAAGAAAUGAAGUUUUGAUUAAAUCUUUCUUGCUAGCUCUCCCGACAUAUGUUAUGUCUAGCUUCUUGCUCGCGCUGGAGAUAUGUGAGAAACUCGCGAGUGCCAUUGUACAAUUCUGGUGCAGUUCAAAUCCCCCAAAGAAAGGAAAUUAUUGAGCCAAAUGGGAAAAUAUCUCUUUACCAAGGGACAGUGUUGUGCCAAGGUUUUUGGAGGCCCAAGGCGAGUUAAAAAAAAAUAAUACAUGAUAUUGUUUUUUGAAAAUAGUUCUAUUUAAAGUCGAAUUAUAUAAAAUCUUUUUUUUUGAAAAAACAUAUAUAUAUAUAUAUAUAUAUAUAACACUAAAAAGUUUUGAUUUAUUACCUAAACUUUUUCUAAAUUUUCUGCACCAGACUUUUAUAAACUAAAAAAAAAUGAUCAAAAGUAAGAAUUCAUAAUAUAAAAAUAAAAUACAAAUUUUGGAUUGAAAUGUUAGUCGCUGUUAAAAAGAUAAAUCUUAGCGUUUAAAUUAAAUACAAUAAACUAUAUAUUCAAAAUAUUAUAAUUUUUAUUCAACUUCUAUAAAUAUAUAAAAUAAAUCUAACUCAUAACAUAUACAAAGAAGACAAAUGUGGAUCAAAUAUUUGCAUUCAAUUAGAAGUAGAAUCUUUAUAGUCUAUAUAUAUAAAGUAUUGUUUGACUCUCUCCUGUGAUGCCACGUCAUCAAUUCGUUGAACAUGAGCUCGCCACGUGUCCUACUUCACCAAUCCGCUGCGUUUCAUUAAGUCUUCUGUACAUGCUUUUCUUUUAUUAUGGGCUGCGUGUUAGAUUCAGUUUCGGUUGGGCUUUAUGUCAUAGGCCUUUAUCAAUUUAUGUGUUUUAAUUAGGGUAAACCCAGUGUCCUUCUUCUCCGCUUCCCAGAAUCCAUAAUCCAUGUCGUGGCAAACGAUUUUUCAUUCUUUUUUUUUUUUUAUCUUUCAUCUUCUUCAUCAGAUUUCAAAACGGUUCCAGUUAUAAUCGAUUCCAGUUACAGAAUGAUCAUCUUAGAACCCUCCAUUAAUCUCACAGGCACGAUCUAUAUUCAAUGCAAUUUUCAUUAUGUGAGGCUGUGGAGGUUCUCCUAUAAAAAGAUAUGAUUUUUUUCUACUUUGAGAAUCAUUCUUCAUUCUUUUAAGCUAACCAGUAAACUAAAUCCGUGAGAUAUGGCUAACGUUUCGGUCUUCCUCUCCGAUUUCCAGACGGGCCGCUCCUCCUCCUCUGUUGAAGUCCGGUUGCUCCGUUUCUGGGAGACCAGGAAUGUCCGCCAUGAUGGAGAGCUUAUGGGAGUGGAUAUGCUCUUACUGGAUUCUCGCAAGUAUCUUAUUAAACUCCACCUUUUGUUCAUAAGCAUAGUUUUUGACCGGUUUAGUUCUUUAGCCAUUUCCACCAUAUGAAUCUGUGAAAUAUCUUUUUGAAAAGUUUUGUUCAUAAACAGAGUUAUUUUUCCGGUGUAAUUCCGUCGUCCUGAAUCGAUAUUACCAAUUGUUUUUGAGAUUUUAAAGUUUUUGUUAAACCAUUUUUUACCGAGACAUUUUGCAAAUUUUAAUGAUUGCUGUUUCUCCUUCACGUACGUCCAGGCAGCAUCAGGCGACCAUGCUGCCGGUCACCGUGAAUGUACACCGGCUUGCGACCCACAUGCCUCAUCUGAAAGCGGGGUGGGUUAUUCCCUAACCGGGUUUGAUGUUACUCGAUGUAACCAAAAUUAUCGACUGUCGGACUCUUCCCUGCUAAUCCGUUUUAGCAACUCAACCUUAUAUCAACGGAUUCCACAAACUGUUACUGCCGUCAUUAUAUACAUAAAUUUUCUUCAAACUGUAUAUCUUCGCAUUCUCACCGUAGACAACGUAACAGUCGAUUUAAAUACAUUAUGAUAACCUUUUGCAUGGAACAAUAGAGUGUCUAAGCCAAUUCUGUCCUCCUGCUUUCCUUCAAUGUUCUCACAAAACCUUAAUCUUCAAAACAACUAAAACAGGGUCAAGUUUACCUUCAAAAAAACUAUGGUCAAGGACAAAAAACAGUCAUCUAACGCUCUCGGCGUUGCCAAUGUCCCAAUCACGGGUUUGUAUAUAUCCUCUAAAACUUAUAACAGUUACAGCUUUACCCUCUUGACACCAUGCAUCCUUUCACAUUUUGCAGAGGCCAGUAUCCACUGCGGCUAUACUAUUCGAUGACAAUCAAUAAAGUCAAGGACAAAGUUUCAAACAAGUUGAUUUAUAUCUCCCAAGAACGGUCUUCACUCACGACCAGUUGUACGUUGCGUUAUCUCGAGUUACUUCACCGGAUGGGCUUAAGAUAUUGGACGAUACCUCUGAUUCAGACAAUGCGGAUGGAGUAACUAACAUAGUCUACAAGGAGGUCUUCAAGGGCCUUCCACACACAAAGGUUAGCAUUGAACUGGUUUAGUUUGUACGCUAACUCUGAUCUGGUAUGUUCUCAAGUACUGACUUUAUCACUAUCAUCGCAGGAAGAGCAUCCGAUGUGUUCUUAAACAGUUAUAGGCUUCGAAGAAGGUAUCUUUCAUCAGUGUUUUAAGUAUAAUAUUUUGAAGGACUCGAUUCUCUCUUCUCUUAUCGUCUUACAUGUUCUACUUUGAUGAAAAUCUUCUUCUUAACGCUUAAGCAUUGUUUAAAUUUAAGGUUUCAUAUAAAGAGUUCGUGAUACUAUGUUUCAAAGGAUACCCUUAGAAUAUAUUAUAGAACUAUAUGCAUACUACAAAGACCCCAUAAAGAAAGAGCCAGCAUAAAUAAAGAAAUCCAUGUUUAAUUAAAUAAACUAUUUUGUCCAAUUGGAAUAUUCUUUCAUGAACAUUAUAGCAAGAAAAUUAGAAUGAGUAAUUUAAAUAUAACUAACAAAUCCUAAUAAGGAAAGUUAAACAUAUAUUUAUAUAUAUAUGCAAUGAUCAUAAAAAUUAUAAGUCCCCUUAUGAAAUAUAAACCAAAAGUAGGAAAAAUAUACAAAAAUAAUUAGUAAAUCUAUUAAGAUAAUAGUAAUAUUUUUUAAAAAAUAUAGUAAAUUAGUAAUCCAUAAUAUUAUGAAAUAAAUAAAUAUUAUAUCAGAUAUUUUUCGAUGUAAAGGUCAAAGUAUGUUUCGUUUACUUGCCUAAAUUUGGAUUUAAAGAAGACUGUAGGCAAAAGAAUUACCAAAUAUCAAUAAAAUUGUAUGUAUAUUUUUAAACCCUUUAAAUAUGCUGCUUUAUUAUAUAAAAUCAGCAUCUUCGGUUUGCUUGGUUCGUUCUUCAUUAUUAAUACACUUAUUAGUACGAUUAAUUUCAUAAUAUAUAAACAAAUAUAAUCAAAGAAAUAUCAUACCAAUACCAAAGAAACAAACAUAUGCCAAAAAAACAACCUCCAUUGUUAAUAAUAUCAGUUACUAACAUCCAAAAAAACAACUACAAUAACUUUGAUAAAAAAUUUCUCUAAAUAAAAACAUCGUUGUCCACUAUUUUAUAUACCCUCACAAAAUAAGGAUAGAAUGGUAUUCGAGAUACAGACCCCAUUCUCUUUUUGAUCAAAUCCGAUUGAGUUAUGUAUUUUAUAGUGUUAUAAAUCAGAAACACUAAAAAAACUUAUAAUUUAGGGUUAAAACAACAAAAUUAAUAACAAUGCAAUAAUUUUUAGUUAUAAAGUUAAAAUUUGUUGUAGAAAAUAUAAUAAUACUCACACCCAAUUUAAUAUAAAAGAAAUUUACAGAAAAUGACACUUUUUUUAUAAAAACCAAUCUAUCAAAUCCCGCCCGCAGGGCGGGCCUCCCCUAGUUUUAUAUAAAAUAUAGUAAAAUUGAUCAUAAAAUAGUUAUUUUAAACAUAAGUGGAAUUGAGAAUCAAAUAAUAAUAAAAAUCUAACUAAGAAAAUACAUUAACUACCAUGUAAUUUUUUUUUUUUUUUGUAAUUAGGGGCCCUAAAAAUCUUACAAAAUUUGGGGGCCCUAGGCAAAUGCCUUUUUUAAUAGCCUGUAAGCACGACUCUGCCAAGGGAGGAAGGCGGGAUUGGUUUUCGUAUGAUCCAUGAGUUCAACCUGGCUUUACUAACAAAACAACUAUGGAGGCUAAUUCAAUACCCUGAUUCGUUAGUGGCUCGUAUUUUGAGGGGAAGAUACUACAGAAUGAGUUCGCCUUUACGAAUAAUCUCUGUAAGCAGCACAUCCUAUGUGUAGACCAGUAUUUCAGCUGCUCGAAAGCUACUACUAUUGGGAAUCAAGCAGAAGAUACAUUCUAGAUAUAAGGUCAAAGUGUGGGAGGAUCCUUGGAUCCUUACAACACCAGCUAGACCGGCUCGCCCUUUAGCCCCAGUUUUGCACCCGAACAUGAGAGUCAGCGACCUUAUUGAUCAGGAAUCGAAGGAAUGCGAUGUUCGACUACUGAAGGAUUACGUUGCCCCUGCUGAUAUACCUUUCGUAAGAAUUUUUCCCAUAAGCUCAACUCAUCGGCGUGACACAUUCGGUUGGAACUACACUAAAAAUGGCCAGUACACGGUUAAAUCUGGAUAUUGGGUAGCUCGGAACUUAUUGAAGGCUGAAGAAGAGAAAGAGGUACUGGAGCCCAGUAUAACUAAGCUUCAAGCCUUUGCUUGGACGAUAAAAGCGCGUCAGAAAAUAUGUCAUCUUAUAUGGCAAUUGAUAACAGGUCAUGUUGCAGUAACGAGAAAUUUGAUACGGCGUAAUAUGAGAUGCGAUAACUAUUGCCCCCGAUGUGGAGAACCAGAAGAGUCUGUUACUCAUGCCAUCUUCGAAUGCUCGCCAGCUCUACAAGCUUGGUCCCUAUCAGCAACACCCACAAGUCCUGAUAUCUUUCCGUUGCCGAGUGUUUAUGCUAAUAUGGAUUAUCUAUUCUGGAGAAAGAACAGCACUGUCGAGCCAGAAUUAGACAGAGAUCCUUAUCCCUAGAUAAUCUGGUAUAUUUGAAAUGCCAGAAAUGACAAGCUCUUUAGGGGGAUGGACAGGGAUCCACUGGAGCUAGUUUGUUAUGCAGAGAGUGAGUGUUAAGCCUAGUUCAACGCCAACGAGAUUGUGCCACAUAUUCCACAAGAUCAAAUUAUUGAGGAACUCCAAGUCUUAAGCUUGGGUAAUAUAUGCAUGAUAAAUGGGCCUUGGACAUCUACAUCACAAUUCAGUGGGAGUGGAUGAGUUUGGAUGGACAGCUUGGGGAAGGUUCAACUUAUGGGGACACGAAAUUACCCACGGCGAGAGUAUGCCUUGCAUUCAGAAGUGGAAGCACUACGAUGGGCGAUGGAGAGUAUGCUCCAGCAUUCAACAUGUCAGAUCUUUUUGGACGGAUUGCAAAGAUCUGAUCGCCAUGAUUGGUGUUAGGAAAACAAAACCUCUCUCUAGAUAGGAUUGUAAGGAGUCUUAGAUUUUCACUUUUAUUAUCAAAAAUGGAAUCAUAUUUUAGAUCUUCAUCAUACAAAUUCCAAUCCGCCUCUUCAUUUUCAAGAUCGGAAAAAAGCUAUAAAAGAUUCAAAAAAGAUAGUAACUAGUCAAAAAACAACUAUAGAUGAUUUCCAAGGAUCAAUUGAUAAUUGGGAGAUCCCAAGAGUUCAUAAAGAUCAAAUUUAUCAAAUCUUGAAAAUGAAUUUUCUAAGAACAAUUUUUUCUAUUAAAACUGAGGAACGUGAUAUUCAACUUAAAAAACCUUUUGAGACGAUUCAUUUAUUUUCUGAAAGUGCUUUACAAAGGCACAUAGAAAAAACUUUAAAUAUAUUCAUAUUGGCUUGGUUCAAGUCGGUUUUAAACCUCUUUAAAAAAAAGGUUAAAUACUUCAAUAUUAGCUAUUUUAAGAGACACACGAUUUAAAGUAUUUGAAGAUUCUUUGUUAAGCUCGGUUGAAUGUAGUUUAUGUACUGGACCAGUUUUAUUUGAUUGCUAUCCAAACUUUACUGUUUCUCUAAAUGACAAAAAUAUUUUAAAAUCUUUGGUGUUACAAGUUAAAAUGCACAACUAUUAAAUGAUUGAAGGAUCCAUUUCAAUUGCUUUGAUCUUUAGAGUUCAUUACGAAACUAUGACAAGUGCUUUUUCUUCAAAGGUAAAAAUUUCCAGCAAAAAGGGGAGACCCUCUUGCUUCAAACUGAUCUUUCAAGAUCUAACUCUGUUAUUUCGAAAUCCAUCCAAUGGAAAGAUAUAAAUCUUCUAGACUAAUGAGUCCUCGAAGGAGCUUGUCCAUAUGGAUGCAGAGCUACCAGUUUGGUUUACAGAGUCUACAUGAUUCUGUUUAUGUUGCUGACAAAAAAAAAUUAGUUAAUUGCUACUAUGAAACCAUACAUGUAAAUAAAUAAUUUAAAGUUUACAUGGAAAAUGUCGACAUCUAAACUCAAGAGUAUACAGAUUCUAGACUAGAGCCCCAAGGUUUUCCAAUUGGUUAGUGUCAAGUGCAUCAAAUACUUCAACAUCAUGGGUCAUCAUCAUUGUCUCUUUCUUUGUUCUAUGUUGCUUCUUAUUCUUUUUUUUUUUCUCUUCAAUCCUUAUUCAGAUCAAAUUACUUGUUGUGAGACCUUUCAUAACCACCACUUGAUUUAUCUUAGAUGGACAUCCGACAAAAAAAAAACCAUAACAGCAAAAUGAAGAUUUAUUUCCUUUAACUUAAUAUUUGGAAUCCAGUCUAGUAACUCAUAACAUAUUUUGAAUUUUUUUAGACAGUUAACAAUCUUUUCAAGCCACAAACACCCAAAAAACUAAGGAAAGAAAUUGAAUCUUGCAUAAACCUAUUUAAAAGCAAGCAACCUAAUCAAUAAAAACAAUUUUUAGAAAUUUUUUUUUAUUAAUUUUACGCAAUAGUCAUGAUAUUUCUUCAAAUGGCCAAAACAAUUAGCCGGUUUACUUGGCCUCUAACAAAUAUUCCUCACAUAAACCAGUUAAAAAAUGAUGGAGAGAAAAAAAAGAUGAUCAAGAGAAAAAAAAUAGAGAAAAUAAAAGAAAAUAUAAAAGCUAGAAAAUGAAUAAGAGAAGAAAGAAGAAGAGAAAUACAAACUGGCUACCACUUGGCUGACACAUUUCAGAGCCUCGUCGAACAAAGCGUGCUACACUACAAGAAAACACAAAUUUAACGACGGCCAAAAUCGUCGUUAUUUCCUCGGAAAAGAAGGCUUACGAGAAAAUGGCGAUGAAAGGCGUUUCGUCGUUAUAUGAUUGUCGUAAGAGAAGAUUCGUCGCCAUUUCCUCGUUAAUUAGCGAGGUUAUAUUUUCCUCGUAAAGAAGAAUUAAGUUUUCGUCGUAAAGACCACGUGGGGUUUCCACGUAACGCGGUCGUUGUGCUUCCUCGUAAGAAACUCGUAAAUGAUUCGUCGUAAAAGACACGCAAAAACCUCUAAAUAAAUUCGUCGUAAUAAAAACGUAAGAAACACGAAAAUAAUUCGUCGUAAUAGAAUCGUAAGUAAAUCCACGUAAAAUCCUCGAUAAUUGUUCCUCGAUAUUUCGUCGUUAAUUUUCCUCGUUAAUACAUCGGGAAUUAGCGACGAAAUUACUUUGUUUUCUAUUUACUGAAUUUAUAAAUAAAAAUUAUAUUUAUUUAAUUUAUUAAUAAAAUUUUAAUUGAAAUUAAAUCGAAUAGGAAAAAUUUUUUUGGCCGAAUUAAAAUGAAAUUAUAUAAUAUAUAAAUAAGUUUUGAAUUUUAAAAUACAAUAACAAAAAAAAAACUAAUGCUGCAUUGCCGCGUCGUAGAAUUCCUCGCUCCUUCUCGAGAGAUCUUCCUCGUUGACUUGCACGGAUGUCUCGCCUGGAAUGGGGUUUUGUUGUCUCAUGGUCCUGAACAUGGCCUCCCAUUCCGGAUUUGUGGCCGCUAUGACGUCCAAGAAGUUCUCGAGACCAGUCAUACGAGCUGUGAACGACGAUUUUGUCGAGGCCAACUCGUUUUGUGUCGACGACAGCUGAUGUUGUGUCGUCUCCAACACGUCGCGCAGCUGAGAGACUUCAUCAUCCCGUCUCUGGCCAUAAGAGGAAGUCGCUCUCGGAACAUCGUUGACGGAACCAAUCCCCAACACACGUCCCUUUUUCUUGGGAGCAAGCUUAAAAAACAAUAAAAUAUAUAUUAAAAUUUAAAUUUUAAAGUAAAAUGGAAUUAAUAAAAAAUUUAUAUAAAAUUUACCUCCUCGUAAAUUCUAUCCACUUCUAUUGUGGAUAAGACGACGGGUGAUCCGUCGGCGGACUCCUGCGCCAGCUGGGUCUCACGCUCGUCAAUACGAGCUGCCACAUCAUUGUAGAUCUUCUCAGACUUCUCAUCUACAAAUGCGCCCGCCUUGUUCUUGUGGGUCCGAUCGAAAAGUUCCAUAAGAGUCGGUAAACGUCCCAACUCCUUGGCCUAAAAAUAGUUAAGAAAGUUUUUAUUAUAUAUAUAAAAAUCAAAAAGUUAAAUAUUUAAAUUACGUACCAUUUCCAAACGGACGCGGGCGUGUGGCUUUUGGCCCGUACUAUGUUGCAUCGCCCUGUGGCCGUGCUCAUCUACCGAGUUACGGGAGGCGGAGCAAGACUGGGCGACUCUCAUGGCAUCAGGAUCCCUCCAGUAACGGAUGAGGCCAUCCCGCACGUCCGUGGUGAUGGAUGUGGGUUUGCCCCGCUCAUAGCCCUUCACGAUCCAGUCACCCUUCCAGUUGGAGACCGUGUCCAACAAACGUUUCUUCGCCUUGUCGAUAAACUCUUUCCGCACCUUCUCAGUGACCCUCAUGGACCAAUUAAAUUUUUGCUGCAAAAAAAAAAAAUAUUAAUAAUUAGUUUAGAAAAAUAAAAUUUAAAAAAAUAUAAAUCAGGAAUAAAUUGUAAAAACUUACAGCGUAAAUCUUGAACCACGUCCUUCUGAUGUAGAUCGGAGUGGAUUUCCAGUUGGGAUGUGCCAUGGAGAAGUAACCUUUAAUCGUCUCGGUUACUUCUGUUGCAAGGCAGUUAUCAACCCCAAACCUGGAAAAAAAAACAAAUUCAAAGUUUUAAAUAUUUAUUAAAGUCACAAAUGAAUUUUAAAAAAUAAAUGUAACAUACAUACCAAAGUGUUCCUUCAGGUCGGUCGGGGUCUAUGAUCGGUAAGCCUUCUCUGCCUGGCAAACCGAGAAUGUCCUCAACAGUGUACUGAGAGUAAGGACAACUCGCUGGCACCAUCAAAUCAGCAUGAACCUGAUGGGCGGCCAUCUGAGGAGGCACAUGAGGAGCUGGCAUCGGAGGAGGAGCUACCGGAGGAGGCACAUGAGGAACUGAUGGCGAUGCCGUAGAAGAAGGCGAGACUCUCUGAGAAGAUUGAGUCUCGGGGACGGUCUCCUGCUGACCCGAAGAACCGGGAGCUGAAGAAGAACCGGGAAGUGAAGGCGGGUCUAACCGACUACCCGGUGGACCGAACAUCUGCGAGUAGUGAGCACUACGCUGGUGUCUACGAAUAGUCCGCAAAAUUUAAAUUUCUAAAUUAAAAUCAAAAGUAAAUAAAAAAUUAUGAACAUUAUUAACUACGUAAUUAAUAAAAUGAGGAAACCUAAAUUUUGUAAACUAAUUUCGUAAACUAAAUCCCCUAAACUAACCACCUAAUCUAAAUUCCCUAAACUACUUAGAGAGGAAAGAGAGUUACCAUGUUGAGAGGAAAUGGAGAGGCUGUAGAGAGGAAUUAGAGAGGAAAUGAAGAGGGCUGCGGUUUCGUCUAUAUAUAGGAUUAGUGUUCGUCGAAAAUUCAUCGCAAAAUAACGAGGAAAGACAGAGGCCCGUCUUUCGUUUUGUCGCAAGGCCCAAGCAAACUAACGAGGAUAUACAGAGGCCCGUCUUUUAUUUAACGUCGUUCUUGCGAUGAUUUUUGUUUUAUCAUCGAUUUUACGUGGGCCCGUCUUUCGUUUCGUCGCAAGGUCCAAGCAAAUUAACGAGGAUAUACAGAGGCCCGUGUUUUAUUUAACGUCGUUCUUGCGACGAUUUUUGUUUUUAUCAUCGAUUUUACGUGCAAAUAGCGAGGCUUUUUUUGCUAACCCCUAAAAUCUUAAACCCCAAACCUCAAACCCUAUCUUUCUUAUAUUUCUUAUCUAAUACUUCAUAUAUUUCUAACCCUUUAACUUCAAUAUAUAUAUUUUUUUGAAUUUGAAAGGUUUAAUACGUUGGAAAACAAUUUUACAAAUUUUGAAUUUGACGUAUCACACAACAAAUCAAACACACGCUACAAAUCAUAUAUGAAAGGUUUAAAAACAAAAAAAAAAAGAGAAGAAGAUAUUUGAAUACAAAUGAUGCAGAUUUAUGUGGGCUACACUUACGUAUCUCGUCAUAUGUGUUUCCAAUAUCUUUCUUCUCUUUUUUUUUUUAAGUUUAUAUAAAAUUGAAAAUUAAUUUUUUUUUAGUUUAUAUGAAGUAGGAUGGGGAGUUUUAGGGUUUGCACAUUUGGGGUUUAGGGAUUUGGGUUUCAUUUUAGUUUAGGGUUUAUAUUUACCGACGAAUUAACGACGAAAAGUAAAAUAAAAAAGCUAACCUCGCUCAUUCCACGUAAGUUAACGAGGCUCUUACGACGUUUUAGUCUUACGUGGAAUAAGCGAGGUCUGAUUUUUUAAUUAUAAAUCGUCGCUUAGUCCACGUAAGUUACGAGGCUCUUACGACGUUUACUGUUACCGUGGAAUAUGCGAGGUAAUGUAUUAUUAAUCGUCGUAAAAUUCCCGUAAGAUAACGUGGAAAGUACGACGACUGUCUCUAAACCCCUAAAACGAAACCCCAAAUCCCAAACCACAUCUUCUUUAUCUUCUACUUCAUAUAUCAAACACUUCUAUCCUUUAACCUCAAGCAAUUCAUUCUAAUCCAAACCGAAAAUUAUAAAAACACAAUUCCUUUACUUAUAAUUAAUGUCGAUAUCUUAUUUAUAAAUAAACUCCCAUUAUCUUUAAUUAUAUAUAAUAAAUCAAACUCAUACAAAUAUGAAAUACAUUAAUCGGAUUCAUCGACAUUCUCGUCAUCACUUGAAACAUCAUCAUUUACAUGAAACUCGUCUUCAACAGCUUCCUCCGUGGGAUCUUCGGUAAGAUCUUCAUACUCGUGAUUAUGCGGAUCAAUGAGAAGGAUGUCAUCAAUUUCUUGUUCAGGUUCAUGAACUUCAUUUAUUUGUUCUUCUUGCAAUGGUGGUUCUUCUCCUACGAUGAUUCGUCCUCGAGGUGUAACUUUGAUCACGGCUAACCAAUUUAUACCCGACUCUCUCAUCCGUGGGUAUGGAAGGAAGCUAACUUGGUCUGCUUGUGAAGCUAAGAUGAAGGGCUCGAAUUUGUUGUACCUCCGGCCACCGUUGACAUCUACUACACCGAAUUUGUUCAACCGAACACCUCUAUUGACGACGGGGUCGAACCAUUCACACUUGAAGAGGACGCAUUUUAGCUUCAAUAUCCCUGGGAAUUCGACUUCAAUAAUCUCCGUCAAGAUUCCGUAGAAAUCUGUUUCUCCUUUCACACAAAUUCCAUAGUUACUGGUUGCCCGCUGUUUACCAUACACAUAUGUGUGAAAAGUAUAGCCUCGUGUGAAAUACAUCUGUGAUGUGGUGACCUUUACAAGUGGAGAUUGAAUUACUUCGUGUAACCACUUAGGAUAAUCUGCAUCGUCGUCCUAAUCAACCUAUUUAAAAAUAAAAAAAACGUUGAAAUACAAAUCAUUCAUGUAUGAAAAUUUUAAAAGUAUUUGAUUAAUACCUGAUUCUUCAACCACUUAACAAAGUGUUGAUCUUUUCUUUUGUCUACGUCACUUGUGGAUAUACCAGGAAAUGUUUCUUUAACUUGUGAAACAAACAUGCUGUAAAUUCACAUUUUACAUGAAUUAAUCUCUCUCAAUUAUAUAAUGUAUACUCAAUUUAAGUUACCUUUCAAAAUAACGCAUCAAUGGAUCCUCGCAAUUGAGUAGAAUAUAGGUGUGUGCACUAUGAGCGUCUUCUUCACUCGACCACCAAACCUGUUUUGAUUUCCCACCAAGUCGUCCAAUCUGGCUAAAGAUUUCUGGAACACCAACAACUGCAUAUGUGGGCGCAACGCCACCAUCAUCAUAUCUUCUUGGAGCUCUUCUUUGGGUACGUACUUUUGACGCAAAGUAGUACGAUGUGAAGUGAGAAACUUCUUCUGUCAAACUUCCAGCAAUUAUAGAACCUUCAACUUUGGCGAGGUUCUUUGCUUUUCCCUUCAAAUAUUUCAUGGCUCGCUCGUACUGAUACAUCCAUCCGUAAUGUACCGGUCCACGAAGCAAUGCCUCAUAUGGGAGGUGGAUAGCUAGAUGCUCCAUCACGUCAAAAAAGCCUGGAGGAAAUAUCUUCUCCAAGUUGCACAAUAAGAUAGGAAUGUUCUCCUGAAGCUGUUCUACGACUUCUUCUUUAAGAGUGCGUGUGCUCAAAUCCCUGAAAAAUGCUCCAAUGCCUAUUCCAAAAACAAUUAAACACAUUGUUAGUCAAAUACUAUUAUUGCAAACUAAACCAAUUUAAUAUUAUUGUCCUAUUGUAAACUACCUGCAAGUGCUUCAUGUACGUUUGUUGCAAGUAGCUCCGCAAAUGCAAAUGGCAGAAGUCGUUGCAUAAAGACAUGACAAUCAUGACUCUUCAUCCCGGAGAACUUUUGACCCUUUUCAACACAUCUUGAAAGAUUUGAAACAUACCCAUCAGGGAACUUCACUUCUGAUGCCACCCAAUUGAACAAAACCGACUUUUUUUCUGAAGACAAUCUAAAAAUUGGAACGGGAACUUGGCCAUUGCUUUUUAUAUGUAACUCACUUCUUGAGCAAAUAUCCGGCAAGUCCAACCUCGAUUUUAUGUUGUCUUUUGUCUUCCCUGGGACAUUCAAUAUUGUAUUCAUGAUGUUCUCAAAGAAAUUCUUCUCUAUAUGCAUCACAUCAAGGUUGUGGCGCAGAAGAAGAUCCUUCCAAUAUGGUAACUCCCAAAAUAUACUCUUCUUGUGCCAGUUGUGAUGAACACCGUAAGAAUCAGGUAUAUUACGAGGGACAUGCCAAUUACCACCCCAGCGAACUGUUUCGUUAGCUCCGUAGUAGUCUAUUUGCGCUUCAAUUUGUUCUCCAGUUAGAUAUGGAGGAGGAGUGUCUCUCACAACCUUUUUGUGCCUAAACAAAUUCUUGUUUCUUCGGUACGGAUGGCCAACUGGAAGAAAUCGACGGUGACAAUCGAACCAACUUGUCUUUCUACCAUUCUUCAGUUGAAAUGCAUCUGUCGUUCCAUUACAAUAUGGACAAGCUAAUCUCCCAUGUGUAGUCCAUCCAGACAACAUCCCAUAGGCAGGAAAGUCACUUAUGGUCCACAAAAGCAUAGCUCGCAUCGUAAAAUUCUUCUUCGUUGAGCAGUCAUACGUCCUCACCCCUGUUGACCACAAAUCCUUCAACUCUUUUAUCAGUGGUUGUAGGAAAACAUCAAGUGACCUUUUUGGAUGCUUCGGACCGGGUAUUAAUAUGGUCAAGAAUAAAAACUCCUGUUGCAUGCACAUCUCCGGUGGCAGGUUGUAUGGCGUAAGAAAGACAGGCCACAAUGAAUAUUGUCUCCCUGACAUUUCAAAUGGACUAAAUCCAUCUGUGCAUAAUCCGAGGUACACAUUCCGGCUAUUGCUAGCGAAAUUCAGAUGUACUUUGUUAAAAUGUUUCCAGGCUCUUGCAUCUGAUGGAUGAGUCAUCUCACCAUCCGUCUGAGUAUGCUCGGCAUGCCACCUCAUCUUUCCAGCAGUCUGCUCCGAUUGGUACAAUCUUUUCAAUCUAUCUGUAAUUGGUAGGUACCACAUCCUUUGGUACGGUACCCUAUUACGUCCCCUUCCUUGCGGCUUGAAUCGUGGUUUCUUGCAGAAUCGACAUUCUUCCAACUUCUCAUCAUCUCCCCAGUAGAUCAUGCAGUUGUCGAUGCAAACAUCUAUCAUCUCCGAAGGCAACCCAAGACUAUAAACCAGUUUCUGAAUCUCAUAAUAAGAAUCAGCAGACUCAUUGUCUUCCGGCAAAUACUCUUUAAAUAAAUCUGCCCAUUCGUUCAUGCAACUUUCAGGUAGAUUGUGAUCAGUUUUAAUAUACAUCAUUCUAGCAGCCAAUGACAAUUUAGAGAGACCUUCUCUACAACCACUGUAAAGUGGUUGAUUUACCGCAUCUAACAUUUCAUAAAACUUUUUUGAAUCUAUGUUAGGUUCUUCAUCUUCAUCAUCAUGAGCUACGAAUGCAUCAGUUACCAUAUCAUGAACCCUAUCAUAAUCUACCAUCGGCUGAUCCUCCUGAUGGUAACUAUGUGCAUUAUGCAAUUGAUGAUCAACCGGUUCUUCUUGAAAGUUGCUAUUACUACUACUAGCUUCAUUCUGAUCAUAACUAUAACCUUCUCCAUGUUGAAACCAGAUAUAAUAAUUUGGCGUGAAACCUCUAUUUACUAAAUGCUUCCAAACAUUUUCACGAUUUGCCAACUUUGAAUUGUUACAUUUCCUACAAGGACAGAAUAUUUUACCGCUUUCUUGGGCGAGCGGUGUAGAAUCUGCUUGAUGCAUAAAACGCUCCAACCCAGCAAGAUAUUCUUUCGUCACUCUCCCGUUAGCAUCUCUAUGCAUAUACAUCCACCUCCGCAACUCGAAAAUAUUUCCCAAGCCCGACAUUUUUUUCACGUUUUUUUUCUUGUUGGUGUGCUUAAAAUUAUGUUCAAACCUCCAUAUAUAUAGAAAAUUUUCGAAUCUGGUAGUUGAAUUUUGCUAGGAAUUUACGACGAAAAAUUAGGUAGGUGGCAAAAAAAACGUGUUAAGUUGGUGGAUUUCUCGUUCUUUCCUCGUAAGUUAUUUCCUCGUAAAAAUCAUGCUAAAAUUACGACGAAUUUGCGACGAAACACAUUUUUCUCGGAAAAACCACGUCAACUUACGACGAUUCUACGAGGAAAAGAGUUACUCGGUAUUUUACAAGGCCAUUACGAGGAAACUUUAUUUCCUCGCAAUUUCAUCGUUAAGUCAUCGUAAUUUCACGAGGAAUAGUUUUCCUCGUUAAAUUUCCUUGCUAAAACUGUGUUUUCUUGUAGUGAAUAAACGAUAUAAUAAAAGCGAUAUGUUAAGGAAAUAGACGAUUGUAAAGGGCGAAUACAAGAACGAUAAAAAAUCGUAUUCUCAAACGAACAUGGAGUCGAGAUAUAAUCUAUUUCCUUAACUCUAAAUAUUCGCUCCGUAAGUUAAUGAGACGGUACUGUACGAAUAUCAAGUCCCAUGAUAUAACGAUGGCAGGCGAAUCACGCUUCACUCGUGAUCGCCCUAUCGAGCUAUAAACUCUACGAAACACUCUCGUAUUUAAGACUUACGCUAAGGAAAUUUUUGCUGUUGGUUUCGAUGUGAAAAAGUUAAGAAAUGAGGAAGACAUUCACUCUGUUUAUAAAGGGAAACGAGAGCUCUGUUGGUUCCGCAAAUGAAGGCACGUGCGCACGAGGCGUCAGACUCGGAAAAUUGCUCGACGUGCGGAGAGAGGGAGAGAUCGUUAGGGCGAAAAAUCCGGAUAAGAUUUUGUUCGAAUUUUUAAAGUAUAUUUGUUUUUCAAAAUUUUAAAAACGAAAAAACAAAACACAAAAUCUUGGUUUGGCCUAACAAAUUGUUAACCUGAACUUGGUCCAAAAAAAAUCUUAUUGGGCCGGAGGUCCUCCACCAAGACCCAAACCCAAACACAAGCCCAGCCCGAGCCGAACAGAGCCGGACGGCGGCGGCGGCGCGCGCGUGGGAAGCCUUCUCCUCUCUCUAGCUAUUUAACCCAUGACAUCAUGGGAUCAUAUAUAAACAGCUCUAACCUUCUUCUCCCGUCCGAUGUGGGACUUUCCCCACUUCACCAUUUCAUUUAUUUGACAUUUCUUUUGGGCUCAGACCCAUAUCAUUUGUUAUUCACAUUUUAAUAAAGCUCAUUGGCUUUAUUGUUCCAACAAUCCCCCACAUGAAUAGAAAUGACUCUUCUAAACAUAUGCAGACUAAAUGCAUACUCUUUAGACUCUAAAAAACUAUAUUUAUUCUAAUCCUGACUAGACUAGAUAGACUUAUCGAGAGUGUUUGCGAAAAAUUUAUUGUGUUUGAGUUGGUGGCAUUUUUAAGCCUUGAACCACUCAUAGUUAAUAUAUGUCGGGUUUACUUUACCAGAAGGUGAACAUGAUAUCUUGAACCAACCGGUGUUUUAUGUAGACUGAGACAACAUGCAUAACGCAGCUUCAUUUUCUCGUAGAACUUAGUUCUUUUAUGUAUUCAUUGUGGCCCUGAACUAUUUCUGGUUUUCAUGAAUGAACUUAGAGAAUAUAUUAUUGCAUUGAUUCUCCUAGAAACGACCCCAUUUCACACUCAUUUGGUGAUUGACCAUGAAAAGUAUUGAGUAAUACUCCACUUAGAAGCUAUGGAAUCAUUAAAAGCUUAUGCUUAUCCUUCUCACAUUUGUUAGCAUUUUUAUCAUCUUAGGAGCUGGGAAGAGACUAUUUGUCUCAAGUGCUUUGGUUAGAUUAUGUUUGAUUUUGUUUUCCCUUUGAACCUACGUCUUGGGAUCUCCAGUCAUAAUAGGUAGGGUUGCAAUCAAGCAUCCUCAUUCGUUAUAGGCUUUAAACCCAUUCCUUUUGAUGAUUUAGCAACAACAUCUCGUGGCAAACCUUUUGUAAAUGGAUCCGCUAGGUUGUCAGCCGAUUUGAUGUAGUCUAUUGUGAUUACACCAGUUGAGAUAAUUUGUCUAAUGGUUUUAUGUCGUUUUCUGAUGUGACCAGAUUUACCAUUGUAGAGAUUACUCUGAGCCCGAGCUAUAGCUAAUUGACUAUCACAAUGUAUGCGUAUAGCUGGCACACGUUUCUCCCACAUAGGAAUAUCUUCCAAAAAAAUUCUAAGCCAUUCAGCUUCUUCUGCUGCUUUGUCUAAGGCUAUGAACUCAGAAACUGAGACAAACGUCGAGAUUUCUAUAAAUGAUAUUUCAGAAAAUAAAGAAAAAUAUGAACCUUGAAGAAGCAAAAGAGCUCGAAAGGAAAAAUCUUUUGGUGAAGAUUUCCUAAUGGCAUUUUUAGUAGAAAAUGUUCCUAAAACUUUGGCAGAAGCCAUGGCUUGACCAGAAGCUCCAUUUUGGAACGAAGCUGUCAGGAGUGAAUCUGAUUCUAUCAUGAAAAAUUAUACAUGGUACGUAACGGAUUUACCACCUAGCUGCAAAUCAUUAGGGAAUAAAUGGAUAAUGACACGAAAACCUGGUGGAAAAUACAAAUCUAGGUUAGUAGUUCAAGGAUUCCGACAAAAGGAAGGCUUUUACUAUUUUGAUACAUAUUCUCCAGUAACGAGAAUAACAUCAAUAAGACUGAUGAUUACAAUCACAGCCUUCAAAGACCUAGAAAUCCUUCAAAUGGAUGUAAAAACCGCUUUUCUAAAUGGUGAUUUAGAAGAGAAAAUUUACAUGAAACAACCUGAAGGUUUUGUCAUUUCCGGACAGGAAGAUAAAGUAUGCCGACUUGUGAAGUCACUUUAUGGGCUUAAACAAGCUCCCAAAGAAUGGCACGAAAAAUUUGACAAUACAAUGAUGUCAAAUAGUUUCAAAAUAAAUGAAUGUGACAAAUGCAUAUACUACAAAACAACCAAAAAUACGUAUGUUUUGCUAUGUCUAUAUGUAGAUGAUAUGCUCGUUAUUAGAAGCAAUAAAGACAUUACCAAUCAAACAAAGAACAUGCUCAAAGGGAAAUUUGAGACGAAAGACUUGGGAUUAGCAGAUGUAAUUCUCGGGGUUAAAGUCACAAGAAAUUCAAGCGGAAUUAUCUUAACCCAAUCUCAUUAUGCUCAAAUAAUAUUAGAGAGAUUUAAAAAUUACUCUAAAAGUACAGCAAAAACUCCGUUAGAUCCCCAAAUGCACUUGACAAAGAAUUCAGGUGAAGCGGUUUCACAAAACGAGUAUGCAUGUGUGAUCGGAAGUCUCAUGUACUUGACUAAUUCUACGAGACCAGAUCUAGCGCAUGCAGUAAACGUACUUAGUCGAUAUACAAGUAAUCUAGGUCAUACACACUGGAAAGUUAUAACGAGAAUACUCAAUUACUUGUGUUACACCAAAGAUUUGGGGCUUCACUAUGGUAAAGAACCAACAGUUUUAGAAGGAUACAGUGACACUAACUGGAUAUCAGAUUCUAAAAACUCAAAAUCCACAAAUGGAUAUGUCUUUAGAUAAGGAGGAGCAGCAAUAUCAUGGAAAUAUACCAAACAAUCACUGUUAGCCAGAUCCAGCAUGGAAUAUGAGUUCAUAGCCCUAGACAAAGCACCAGAAGAAGCUGAAUGACUUAGAAAUUUUUUGGAAGAUAUUCCUAUGUGGGAGAAACCUGUGCCAGCUAUACGCAUACACCGUGAUAGUCAAUCAGCUAUAGCUCGGGCUCAGAGUAAUCUCUAUAAUGGUAAAUCUCGUCACAUCAGAAGACGACAUAUAACCAUUAGACAACUUAUCUCAACUGGUGUAAUCACAAUAAACUACAUCAAAUCGACUGACAACCUAGCGGAUCCAUUUACAAAAGGUUUGCCACAAGAUGUUGUUGCUAAAUCAUUAAAAGGAAUGGGUUUAAAGCCUAUAACAAACGAGGAUGCUUGAUUGCAACCCUACCUAUCAUGACUGGAGAUCCCAAGACGUAGGUUCAAAGGGAAAACAAAAUCAAACAUAAUCUAACCAAAGCACUUGAGACAAAUAGUCUCUUCCCAGCUCCUAAGAUGAUAAAAAUGCUAACAAAUGUGAGAAGGAUAAGCAUAAGCUUUUAAUGAUUCCAUAGCUUCUAAGUGGAGUAUUACUCAAUACUUUUCAUGGUCAAUCACCUAAUGAGUGUGAAAUGAGGCUGUUUCUAGGAGAAUGAAUGCAAUGAUAUAUUCUCUAAGUUCACUCAUGAAAACCAGAAAUAGUUCAGGGCCACAAUGAACACAUAAAAGAACUAAGUUCUACGAGAAAAUGAAGCUGCGUUAUGCAUGUUGUCUCAGUCUACAUAAAACACCGGUUGGUUCAAGACAUCAUGUUCACCUUCUGGUAAAGUAAACCCGACAUAUAUUUAACUAUGAGUGGUUCAAGGCUUAAAAAUGCCACCAACUCAAACACAGUAAAUUUUUCGCAAACACUCUCGAUAAAUAUGUCUAGUCUAGUCAUGAUUAGAAUAAGUAUAGUUUUUUAGAGUCUAUCGAGUCUGCAUUUAGUCUGCAUAUAUUUAGAAGAGUCAUUUCUAUUCAUGUGGAGAAUUUUUGGAACAAUAAAGCCAAUGAGCUUUAUUAAAAUGUGAAUAACAAAUGAUAUGGGUCGGAGCCCAAAAGAAAUGUCAAAUAAAUGAAAUGGUGAAGUGGGGAAAGUCCCACAUCGGCCAGGAGAAGAAGGUUAGAGCUGUUUAUAUAUGAUUCCAUGAUAUCAUGGGUUAAACAGCUUGAGAGAGGAUAAGGCUUCCCAUGCGCGCGCCGCCACUGCCGUCCGGCCGGCUUGGUUCGGCGUGGGCGUGGGCUUAGGCUUGGGCUUGGGUCUUGGGUCUUGGUAGAGGGCCUCUGGCCCAAUAAGAUUCUUUUUGGACCAAGUUCAGGUUAACAAUUUUUUGGGCCAACCCAAGCUUUUGUGUUUUGUUUUUUCGUUAUUAAAAUUUUGAAAAAUGAAUAUACUUUAAAAAUUCGAACAAAAUCUUAUCCGGAUUUUUCGCCCAACGAUCUCUCUCUAUCUCUGCACGUCGAGCAACUUCCCGAGUCUGACGCCUCGUGCGCGCGUGCCUUCAUUUGCGGAACCAACAGAAAAGAUUUUAUAAGCUGGAAAACCGGACUGAAAUAAACGAUAUAAUAAAAGCGAUAUGUUAAAGAAAUAGACGAUUGUAAAGAGCGAAUACAAGAACGAUAAGAAAUUGUAUUCGUAAACGAACAUGGAGUCUAGAUAUAAUUUCUUUCCUUAACUCUAAAUAUUCGCUCCGUUAGUGAGACGGUACUGUACGGAUAUCGAGUCCCAGGAUAUAACCAUGGCAAUCGCACUAUGGAACUAUAAACUCUACGAAACACUCUUGUAUUUAAGACUUACGCUAAGAGAAUUUUCGCUGUUGGUUUCGAUGUGAAAAAAGUUAAGAAAUAAGGAAGACUUUCGCUCUGUUUAUAAAGGGAAAUAAGAGCUCUGUUGAUUCCGCAAACGAAGGCACGUGCGCACGAGGCGUCAGACUCGGGAAGUUGCUCGACGUGCGGAGAGAGGGAGAGAUCGUUGGGCCAAAAAUCCGGAUAAGAUUUUGUUCGAAUUUUUAAAGUAUUUUCGUUUUUCAAAAUUUUAAAAACGAAAAAACAAAACACAAAAGCUUGGUUUAGUCCAACAAAUUGUUAACCUGAACUUGGUCCAAAAAGAAUCUUAUUGGGCCGGAGGCCCUCCACCAAGACUCGAGACCCAAGCCCACGCCGAGCCGGCCGGACGAGGGUGGCACGUGGGAAGCCCUUCUCCUCUCUCAAGCUGUUUAACCCAUGAUGUCAUGGGAUCAUAUAUAAACAGCUCUAACCUUCUUCUCUCGAUUGAUGUGGGACUUUCCCCACUUCACCAUUUCAUUUAUUUGACAUUUCUUUUGGGCUCGUACUCGUAUCAUUUGUUAUUCACAUUUUAAUAAAGCUCAUUGACUUUAUUGUUCCAACAAUAAGUUGGAUACACUUCAAAAGCACAUGUAAUGCUCCAAGCCCCCAAGGGCCGGUUAGAGUCGCUUUCCAUUUUGUGGCAGAUUUUAAAAUGAAAGAUUUGUAUCUUGACCUAUGUGGCAUUUAAUCAAAUGAAAGUAUUAUUUCCUGAGUUAUCACCUGGCUUAUAACAAGCUUCUGGUAUGGACAAGAAGAAACAACAGCUGAUGCAGAUAGCGAUUCAGGUAAGUUCUUGUGAUCCAAACUUAUAUCUGUGGGGACUUUUUGAGCUCUUUAAAAUAUCAUAAUAUCCUUCUUUUAAAGUUUAUUCAAAUCAGCUUGCUGAACCUCUGUUUAUGAAUCCGGAAAAGGCAACUACAAAAAAAGCUCUAGAACUGCUCGGUCCAGACUUUGACGCUGCUGACUACAAGGUAAUAUGUCAAUUCAAAUCAAUAUCUAUUGAAGAAAACAGAAGAAAUUAUACUCUCUUUUGUGAUCAAAUAGGUUACUGGAGCAUCGUAUUUACGAUUGAUGUUUUUAAUGAAAUCUGGUACAAAUUGUUGUUACUCACCGGCCAAUCAUCCACUGGUACACUCCCAAAAACACUCUUAUUCAGUUUUUUUUUAGCCAACUCUUGUGGCGUUUACUGGUGUUCUUUAAGUCAGAUAUGAUAUAUAUGACCAAAUUUUGUUGAUUCAGGACACAUCUACCUUUACGUGGAGAGAUUAAUGUUCACAAUUGUGGUAGGAGAAGAGUUACGCCACAGAACGCAAGGCCAGACGCUUAUACCGCAUGUGAAAAACCAAAAGCAUUGGAAUCUUCAUAUUUCAAGUUUGUUUGAUUGCACCGAAAAGCCUUGUUAUCUUCUAGACAUGUUUUUGCGUGUUGUUUAAUAUAGUUUGAAUCAUUAUGGUCAAUGUAAAAGUUGACCGUUAUCAUUCUAUGUAAAUUUGCCGUUUGACCAAGAAUAAUAGACAUUCUUGGAAGUUCACAUUAUCGAUGUUUAAGAUUAAAUCGACUUGGUCUAAGUAUUGCUUACAAAUUGCAAAGGAAAUUGAAGAGCUUCUAUCAUCUUCUUUCCAGCAUGAUUCAUGAUGCAUCAUCGCCCUACGAAUUUGAAGUGUCAUGAAUUUUAAGAGAGCCAUAUAUUUGGUGUUGGGAGAACAAACUAAGACCGUUUCUUCCACAGCCUGACGUGGCAACAAAAGCCAACGAUUAGGAUUAAGAAAAGCUCAACUAGAGCAUGUUGACAAAAAGAACCCAAAAGAAUCCAAGUCUAAUAUUAAUUAUACUUUUCCAAGAAAAGAUAUGAUACACACGUAUUAUACGGUAAUGUUUGUAUGAUGUAUCUAUGUAUUCAACUGUGUUUAGACAUGUACGAAUCUUAAAUAUCCAUAAGUCUUCUGUUGACUUUGUUUGGUUUGUGGAAAAUAAAUACAAGAUACGCCCACGCGCACUACCAGUUACCUCUCCUCAUCUUCUCUCAUUUUCCAUUGUUUCCAUUUUUUUUCUUUAUUGGUUCAAAAUAUAUAAUAUGAACAUUCUAUUCACAACAUAUAUUAUGAACGUUAUAAUUAUCGAUUCUCUCUAUUAAUAUAUACUUUUAAUCUGAUUAUGAAGUUUAUAAGCACUUUGGAAAAUAAAAAGAAGGCCAAGAGCUACGUUUAAGAUAGUUUAACUACACUGAUCUUUCAUCAACAUGCCAGUAGUGCAAACCAAACAAAUGAAGACAUAAUGGAAACACAAACAUUUGGUUGCAUCGUAGUAUAUGAUGACUUGAAGUGUAUACCGGUCUAGAUGGAAUGAAAACAAACAUUGAAAACCGUAACGUGAGACAUUUUCUUGUGAAAUAUUCACAUCACGCAAUUCACGCGCGUGAGGCCAAAUGUACAAAUACAUUUAGUUACGCAAAGUGGAACCUUCUGCAAAUUAAAUAUUACAUUUCUAUACUGUUUAAUAUUUUAUUAAUAGUCAUUUCGUCAUUUGAUUUGGGAAAUUUCUAUAUAAUUUCAAGCCGAAUAAUACUCCGAAUAUUAACUUACAAUAGUUCCCUUUUAGCAAGGACUCUAUGUCCCAUUUAAAAUCAUUUAUCUAUAUAACCAUAAAAGCAGUCCAUUCAUAAUUCAGACAUCCUUUCAUCACAAAAGUUUAUUUUCUGCUAGUUUGAUCUUUUGCCUCUUCUUCAAACAUCAAAGAAAUGGAGCUAUUCACCAAAGGAGACGCCGUUAAGUUAAGGAGCCACCUGGAUAAGUUUUUAGUCGCCGACGACGAUCAAGAAACCAUCCGUCAAAGUCGUAAAGGAGAUGCACGACGAGCCGUAUGGACGGUAGAGACCGUCGAGGCUAAACCGAAUCUGAUAAGAUUAAAAAGCUGUCACGGCACGUACUUAACGGCGAGCAAUAAACCGUUGCUGUUAGGUAUGACCGGUGAGAAAGUGACUCAAACGCACUCGUCUAACAAGCCUAUGGAUUGGCAAACGCAGUGGGAACCGGUGCGAGAUGGUUUCUCGGUGAAGCUGAAGUCUUGGUGCGGUAAAUGGAUGAGGGCUAACGGAGGAACACCGCCGUGGAGAAACUCCGUUACUCACGACGAGCCUCAUACAUCGAAGACCAAGAACUGGUUGGUUUGGGAUGUUAUUACAGUUGAUGGUUCUGAUCUUGAAAACAUGUCUGGUGGAGAUGAGAGCUCUGUUUCUUCCCCGGUUUCUUCACAUAUCUCCGGGUCGGAUCUCGGGUCAGAGCCUGCGUCGCCCGUUUCCGCUAGGUCAAUGAAGAGUAUUGAUCGGUUCGCUUCUCUUGGUUUGAGUUCAAUGUCUCCGAGAUGGUCCUCAAAACCGGUACGUUUGACUAAGUCUUUAAUUAUCAAUUUGCAUUUACAUUGUGCAUUGAAUAGUUUUUUCUUAAUUAAGUGUACCAUAGAAAGUUAUUAUGGUUAGCUGGACUUAGCCCAAUUUUGGUUGGCAUGCAUUAGAUUAGAUAGAAAAAUGUAGGAAUAAUUACCAUACUAGUAAUAUUUAGUGUUAUAAAAACUUGGAAACUAUAUGUACUUAAAUAUACUUAUAUAUAUAUGAUUCUUUUCUCCACUAACAUAUAUAGUGCUCCACAAGCACAUACAUCGUUCCACCAACCUAAUAGCACCGAGAAAUUUCAUAUUUUCUUUUGUUAUAUCUUAUAUUAAUUAAAUGCCUAGUUUACUUAGGGCAUCAAAAAAUUUCUUUAUAUUCCAUACUAAAAUAGAGUAAUUAUAUUAUAGAGUUUAAUUUGCUCCAAUGAUGCACUUUAUAAUAGAGUUAUUUCAUAAUAUAGUAAAAUAUAAAGUAACGUUGUUUUUUCACUCUAUAUUUGGAGUAAAAAGUAACAUUACUCUAUAUUUCACUCUAUAUUUGAAGUAAAAAGUAACAUUAUUCUAUAUUUCACUCUAUUUUAGAAUGAAAUAUAUAGUAAAUUUUCGGGUGCCAUUGGAAUGGUCUUAGAACAACUUCUUAUUUUAUAAUUCACUAUAGAAACUACAACAGUUGAAAAUAUGACAUUUCGAGUCCAGCUAAAGUUACAAACAUGUAAGUGACAGUAAAAGUUCUUACAAAAGUUAUACGUACCUAUAUAGGCUGAUUAAGAAAUUUUUAUACCUAAUCUUUUUGGCGAACAUUUAAAACUUACACCUAAUGGCUUGAUAUAAAUAAAUCUAAUCUCAGCUAACACAAGACACGUGGAAAUAAAGUAUGGUGGAAAAGUUAAUUUAGUUAUGAUUUAUUUGUGAUGGUAUGGACUGUGGGACCAUAUGGUCCAAGGAAGGAAGCAGUUAGGAGAGUCCCACACUCAUGAAUUUCCUUUUUCCUUGGUUUUUCUUGCGGGCAAGAGACUAGACACUUAUUCUAUAAGCAUUCCUUUAAAUCCUCUUUUUCAAAUCUCUUUAUGGCAUAGAGACAGUAUUACAUUUUUUUGGGUAAAAUGUUAAAAUUUUAGUACCAUUUUCUUUUUAAAAAGUUUACAAUAUUGCAAGCAACUUAUUACAACAAAAAAAAGAAAGAAAAAAACAACAACAAUCCAAUACAAUAUUACAUUUUGAGCGAGAAAGGCAUACAAAUGCAUUUUAUUUUGUUAGAAACUAUGUAUUAUAUUUUUCCAUUAUUUCACAUUUAGGUUUAAUGUCUAUACCACCAUUACCUUACACUCCUAAGUUCUAAACUUAAACGGAAUAUUAUAUAUAUGUAUAUCAUUGUAUCAGUGUUCCAAAAAAAAAAAAAUAUAUAUAUAUAUAUAAAUAUCAUCGUGUCAAAUCUUAAGCUAUUAAUGGAACUUGAUAAAACAGUUGCUAUGUUUGUUUUUGAUGUACCAUCGAAAACUACAUGACUAAAUUUCUAAUAGCAUCAUUAUCAAUAAAAGCUAUAUUAAGUUUCUAAAAUAAUAUUUCAAGUAAUAUGCAUGGAACAAUUGACAUGUAGCAAUUUUUGCCAAAAAAAAAUUCAUUUGAAAGACUAUUUUUUUUUUUAAAGACUAUGUUUUUCUUUCUUUAGUUUUAUUUAUUUAUUUAUUUUAACAAGAAAACUCUUACAAAAUUUCACCAAUGCUGAUAACAUGAAAACUCUUACAAAAUUUCACCAAUGCUGAUAACAUGAAAACUUAAGAUGAUCUCUUGGAAAAUGGUAAAAUAACAUGGUGUUUUUUUGUGGAAAUUGGUUACAUAUCUCUAGCAUCACUUUUCAUUAAAAGAAAUACAAAUAGUCCCAUUCCAACUGUAAUUUAAUUAAAGUUUACCACUUUAUCAAUGAUUUUAGAUUAACCUUUGAUUUGAUCCAAAAAAAAAAGAUUAACCUUUGAUAUUGGACAUUGACUCCCAGUAUUCUGUUUAAACUUCUCUUGGAGAACCUGAAUCCAACUUUGUAUUAGCAGAAAAUUUAUAGUUUUGAAAAGUAAAAGAAAUGCUAAGUCCCGAUUUGGUCUUGAAUACAAAGUAAAAUAUAUAUAGUGGGAUUCUCAUCAUUAACUCUUUUUCAGGAUACCAAUCCAGAAAUGUAGUAGUAACAUUGCAUUUGUACUACUUUGAAAUUGAGACACAUUAACAGAAUAAAAACAUGCUAUUACACUGUGCUGACGUGGAAAUUAAAACGCGGUAAAUCCAAUCAGCAAACUCUGACUUUUCAAUUUUCAUGCGUCUCUGACUAGUCCCGUGUAAUGUCCGCGUUACUACAAAAAGUUAGACCAGACCAAGGACAGAGAGAAAGAUGCACAUAUAAACACAAACCGCAUCUUCACCACUUCUUACAUAUUCCCACACUCAUUUUUUUUUUAACAGAAAACGAGUAGCUUCAACCAAAAGGAGAAGACGAGUAGCUUAAACCAAAACGAAACAGUCUCAGCAAUGGAGUUUUUCCAGAAAGCUAAAGCCAUUCGAAUGCGUAACAGCCACAACAAGUAUCUAUCCGCAGACGACGACGAGGAAACAGUGACACAAGACCGAAACGGAUCAACCAAAAACGCUCGAUGGACCGUCGAACCGGUUCGCGAUUCGUACCACGUAAUCCGUCUCAAAAGCUGUUACGGUAAAUACCUAACCGCUUCGAACGAGCGGUUCUUGCUUGGAGCUACGGGGAAGAAAGUGAUUCAGCUAAAACCGAGUCGUCUCGACUCGUCUGUUGAGUGGGAACCAGUUAGAGAAGGAUCCAAGAUUAAGCUCAGGACGAGAUACGGUAACUAUCUACGAGGUAACGGUGGUCUUCCGCCGUGGAGAAACUCGGUGACGCACGACAUUCCUCAUUUGUCGGCUACUCAGGAUUCCAUCUCGUGGGAGGUUGAUGUUGUUGAGAUCUUGGUUAAUCCUCAAGUCACGGCGGAGACUGAGUUCACUCCGUCACCGAAGACGCAGCCUCCGCCGGUGAAGACGCAGCCACCACCGCAUAGGAGGCCAUCGAGGACUCCGUCUUCUCUUUCAGAGAGAUCCGAACAAGAUGUGAGUUACUAUUGCUAAUUACUGAAAUACCCUCAAAUUUUGUUUAUAAUUACCCUCCUGACAUGAACUUUGGUUUUGACCAGUCGGUUGUGUCUCCACCGAAAUCGGAUGGGAGAACGAUAUACUACCACAUCGCUGACGAUGAAGGACACGUGGAGGAUGAAUCGAGCGUUGGAUAUGCUUUCACGUUUAAAGGGAACAGCGUGGCGGAGCUGACUCAGACGUUGCGAGAAGAAACGUGCAUGGAGGACGCUGUGGUGUGCACUCGCAGUCCAUUAAACGGCAAGCUGUUUCCCCUUCGUUUGCAACUUCCUCCUAACAAUGGAACACUGCAUGUCAUUUUGGUACCCUCCAGUGCUAGCCUCUAGACCAGUGAUUGUCUUCUCGUGUGGUGAGUGUUUUGGUGGAGCAUUAUGAUAUGAACCUUAUAAAAGGUCUAUAAGACAAUAAGAUUGGUAGAUGGUACGAGACUCUUGGUAACGGAGAUAAAAGACGUCGCACCAUGAGCAUUGCUUGCUCUACAGUAUGAGUUGAUAUGUGAAAAAAUGCAGUAUAGAGUUUUGAUAAUAGAAAAAAAUGCUUAUACAUUCUUUUUGGUGAAUAUAGACCAAGUUGUUCGUUUUUCUUGUUGUAAAUAAACGAUUUCAUUUUGUAAACGAGCAUUUGGAUUGUUAUUUGUAGGAGCAUGCAUUCGACAGGAACGAGUAUUGUUUUGUUUUUCCUAUGUACAAUAAAUCAUAGUUACUACUUAGUACUUACUGGUAAAUGAAAAGGAGUAUCUUGAAAAAUUGGAGUAUGUGUAAACGUUAGAACAUCAUGUUACGCUGUACCAGAAAUGUUAAUUCAUGUCGGCUGAAUUUCCAUUGAUUUCCUACAACAACCCCCAACACACAAGACUCCAGAGAAAUACAAAUGCUCAACCAUGAAGUCAAAUGCGAGCAUCACUACCCUGAAAAAUUAAAUUGUACAAUAAAAAACAAUCGAAUGCAUGACCGUAUGCAUAUUGUACUAAAAAAUCAGCUAAAAGCCGGAGAAGCAAGUAUUUCCACAACAAUCAUUCAAAAAUGCUAAUGGCAUUAUCCACUAUACAAAUAUCUUAUUUUCUCAUAUACUUGAUUAAAAUACUCUCUUUGGAGAAAAGAAGAAAAAUAAGAGGAAAAGAAAGUGUAUCUUCAUCUGUAAGAAAUAAAUUUUGUUAAACUUUCGUAUGUUAUUUCCAAGAACCACCUAAAUUGAUACAUAAUAAUUUUUUAAAAAUCUAAUCCGCGAAAAAAUAGUUUAGAAAUUAAGGGAGUAAUUUCGGUUCAUUGAUUUUAUCUUUUUCAGUAUCAAUUAUCCAAUAUAUUUAAGAACACAUAGCAGUCACUUACAUCUCUCAGAAAAACCCUAAUCAUCCUCUUCCUCUUCCUCUUCUCUCUCAUUUCUUCACCGCCGCUGUUCAACGGUGGUCACUUUCUCCGCCGAUUAAAUCGAUCUCCUACACAAAUCCAACACCAUGGCACCUACCGCUACUGCGACAGCGACAGCGACAUCUUCCUCAGACGCCAGCGAAGGACCAGUGAUGGGACUCAUCAACAAGCGUCUCCGCGCCCUCCGCAAGAAACUCAACCGAAUCACUCAAAUGGAAGAAUCGAUCUCUCAGGGGAAAACCCUAAACAAGGAGCAACAAGAAGUCCUCCGCUCCAAACCGUCCGUCCUCGUCCUCAUCGAAGAGCUCGACAAGCUCCGCGCUCCUCUCUCCGCCGCCGUCUCCGAAGAAAUCACCCUGGCCACUACUCACCACCUCCACCACCACAAUCAAGCUCCCCCCGAUCAAAACGAAGUAGCUGACGCUCCCGAGGAGGAAGAAGCGAAGAAGUUGGAGGAUUUGGUGAAUCUGUUGUACUUUGGCUCGCUCUUCGACGUGAAGUCGCAGAACGAGUUGGCUUCGAUUAUGCUGACGAGGACGCACGAGAGAGGUUGCUGUUUGGUUUACGAUACGGUUACGGAUGAGUCCACGGAUCUGCUAUGUGAUAAGGAUCUGGAUUUGAUUUCCGAGCUGUGGACUAUGAUGGUAUCCAGGCCUGCGGAUUCGUUCUUGUCUCACAAGAACGCUUUGGAGCGUUGCGUCGAGCAUGCUAAGCUUUGGUUGGCUAACUCGAACCAGCCGAUUGCUUCCAACUGCAAUGUUUCAUGUAAGAAAAAUCCAAAAGUUAGUUUGCUUCUUUUGCUACGUGUUUGUUUUAGUUUUUACUUAUUGGGAUUUGUGGUGUUUCAGAUGCUGGACUGAGAGAGAAGUUGAAGAAGAUUAUGGGUUCUAAUUACUUCACUAUUACUCCUGAGAUGGUUGCUCCUGUUGAAGCAGCGUCUGCAGCUGCUGCUGGUAACUACGGUGCUUUCCAAGUCGCUGCUGACACUGAGCAAAAGGUAGGUAUUCACCUUUUUAGGUUAGGUUUUGAGUUGGAGAGGGAGCUCUCAGUGGUUAUCAUUGAAAUGCUUUGAUCAUCUGAAUUCUCUUUCUUCGUUUGUGUGUGACUUUUUUUUAGGUUGCAUUGCUGUUUUGUUUCAUAACACAUUCUUUUCAAAGCUAAACUGCUUAUUGCUAGUUCUUUGUUUGUUAUCAAAUUGUUAGUGAAUUUCAUAGGUCGAAUGCAUGUUGUUCUUUCUGUUAUGAGAUGCUAAGCUCUAAUUUGAUCCCAAGGAGGAGACUAGUGAUCCCAGAUCGAGUUUCUUUUGUGUAGGAGUCAGAGUUUGUCUAGGCUCUAGGCUUGUGCUUUGUGUGAUCAGGAUAGAGAAGUACAUUGUUAAGUUGAUUGUUACAUUAAUUUUAUGGUCUUUGAGAACUCUGCUCUACGAGUUGUUAAUAUAUUCUGGUUUAUUCAUGUGAGUAGUGAUUAAUAACCGUGACAGUAUUUUUCUUCACUGUGGCGAAUGUUUAAGACAUGUUUCUCUUGAGUGUCUAGUUAUGUGAUGUAGAGAACAUACAUCCUUCGCUUGUGUAUCCAUUGUUCUCUUUCUUUCCGUGGGACUGAUGUUCAUCUGGUUGCAGGAAGAAGACGCAUCAAACAUUAAAGAACAAGAACCUGCUGUUAAUGAUCAAUCUGAGCAACCAAAGGUAAUCCAGUGAAAUGUGGAGCUUUUAAAAGCAUCUUUAUAAAUCGAUUGCUCUAGGCUGAAUUUGUUGAUUUUUUUUUUUUUAUAUAUUUGGGGUUUGAAGGAUGAGUCAGUGACGGAAGGAGAGUUGGUCCAAGGACAGCAGGAACAAGGAUAUACUCAGGUGGAAGGAGGGAGGUCAAAGAGAGAUUAUCAGCAACAGUAUGUACCUCGUGGAACCCACCAGAACCAGAGAGGUCAUAGAGGUGCUAGAAGAGGUCAUUCCAACGCCCCCCGGGGAGGUCGAGGUGGUGGUGGAGGAUACUCGAAUGGGAGGUAUGAAUCUUAUGACAAUUCGGGUGGAAACGGUUACCAAAGGAGCCACUACAACAACAGAGGAAGGGGACGUGGUGGUGGUGGAGGAAACGGCCAUUCAUACAACAACAACAACAACCAAGACUCAAACGUAACUGUUGCGUCUUAGCCUUUCUGCCUUGUUGACUUUUGGGUGCAUGUCCUUGUUUGGGUUUGGAACUUUUGUCAAUUACUCUUUGGUGUUAUGUUAUGAACUUCUGUUUUUCUUUUGUAGCCAUCAAUCAAUAUGAUCCCUUUUCUCUCCAUGAGAGCCAUUUCAGAUAGUCAGAACAUGGCUUUUACAUGUUCAUCCAAAUAGACCGAGACGUGAGCUCAUGGUCUAUGAGAGGCUGUGGAGAAAACAGAGUUUUUGCCUUUUUUUUUUUUUUUUUUUCUAAAAGCCACUUGCUUUGAAAGUGGUAUUCCAAAUAACCUGAAACAAAACCAUAAAAGGAUAAACAAAUUGAGAAUCUAAAGAAACUUUACCUCAACUUGAUCUUUGGAAUUUGAUUAACGUCCGAAUAAAGCAUACUCCUUUAAUGUUUUUUCAGAUUGAAAAGCUUUGGUUCUUGUGCGGUCACAUGACUUCUUCUUCUUCUCGUACUUUCUUGUUUUUUCUUUUGUGAGAAUUUCCUUAUUUGAAACACAGAGAAUUUGGCAAAUCCGAGUACGGUUUCUUCUUAGCAUCUCUCCUCUUUGAUAUGAGGACCGCUUGAUAGAGAGCGCACACAAACUGUUCGACGAAAUGCUCCAAAGAUGGUCUCUCUCAACUCAGGCCCCGUUUCUUCUUUUGCUCCACGGCUUUCGCUGAUUGAUUCCGAUACCCUUUUGCCUCUUUCCUCUUUUUCUUCCUUCAAUCCCAUUUGUUCGGGGAAAUUGAGUCUUUUAGCUGAUGGGAAAAGUUGUGGACCUGUUCAAUGGUUUCUGGAGGUCAAGCUGAGGAAGAAAGGUUGUUGCUUUAGGCGUAGUGGGGUUCUGAGGAUGUGCAAUAACCAAGAUUUGGGAUGGGAUAGCGAUAAGGAUCUGGAAACGGAGAUUUUGGAGUUCAUGAAGAAUUCUGAUAAACCUGGCAUGUUUCCGAGCAAGAAGGAUUUAAUCCGUUCUGAAAGAUUUGAUCUUGUGGAGAGAAUCGUAAACCAAGGUGGAUGGCUUUCAAUGGGAUGGGACUUGGAUGAACAACAAGAAGAGGAGGUCCGAGUAAAAGAGAACGUCGUGCUAGGGGACUUGCCUAUUGAGAAACAGCUUCGUAAUCUUUCCUCGAAUGCCUCAUAUUCAAGAGAGUGGGUCCUCUAAAUUUACAUUGCUUCUUAUUCUAUGCCUUUUGAGAAUGUUAGUUAACAUAGGCUCUGUUUUAUCAGAGAAGUAGAUGGUAAGAAUGAGAGUGGGAUUGAAGGCAUAUUGACCAGGUUGGAGAAAGAAAGGAAUUUGAGUCUAGGGAUAAACUUGAGUGGGAAAGGCGAAAGCAAUGGUGCCAUGUAUGAUGAUAUCACCCUAAAUGGUUCCCCUCCUCGUUCUUCUAUUAUUGUGGUAUGUUUUCUUGUCUGUUAUAAGCUUUGCUGUUCACUUCAUAAGAAUAAACUGUUUAUGUCGUGAGGUGUUUCCCUACCUUUUUUCUCAAAAGACAGCUAGUGAGUUUCAAGAUGUCGACGCUAGUAGAAGUUCAGGUGAAUAUGGACAAAGUAGGUAUCAAGAAGCCAAGCCAGUUUCAGGAAACAAUUCGUCUACAUCAGAAACGUGGAGAACAUGGAGUAUGAGGAGAGCUGGCUUUACUGAUGAAGAUUUUGAAGGUAUGCCAGUGAUUUCUGUCUUCUUCCAUAUAUAAUGAUUUCAGUAAAACAAAGAUCUAAAGCCAUUAACAUUUGUACAGCUGCUGAAAUAUCUUCAAGUAGCUUGGUUGGUCUAAAGAAGGAUGAUACGAAUAAGGAUUCAAACGGAAAAGACAAAACUGCAUCUUACUCUGAAGAUAUAAAUACGACUCAUAUCAAAAGCCGUCUUCAGAAUCUCCAGUCAGAACUUUCUUCUGUUCUUCAAUCCCUUAGGUCUCCUCCUCCUGAUGAAGUUGGAACAAGCAAGGUAACGUAUGUUUUCAUUUCUUCGUGUGUGAUUGUUUGAACGGAUGGGACCGAGAAUCCUCUCUCUAUUUGACUGAUCAAAAUAGUAGCGAUUCUAUAAAUGAUUAACAUUUGACUUAUUUUUGGUUUAUGAUUUUAUGUAGGAUAGUGAGAUAAAAUCUGGAAACUUGGAGAACCUCAAUGAUGAUUGGGAGUUCAAAGAGAAUGAAAUCAUAUAUGCCCAGAACAAGCUACGGUCUACAAGGGCAAAGCUAGCUGUUCUUGAAGGAAAGAUGUCUAUGGCUAUAAUGUAUGCGUUGCUCAUUGGUUAUGUGCAAAUAGAUAAGAGUAGGAUGCUUAUGCUAAUUGUCUCUCACAUUGGCUAGCUUGUUUCUCUUCUAGAGAUGCACAGAGGAUUGUAAGGGAGAAACAGAGAAAAAUAGAUCAUGCUAGGAGAGCUUUACGGUUACUCCGGACUGCAUCCAUAGUAUGGCCUAACUCAGCCUCGGAAGUUUUACUAACGGGUUCAUUUGACGGUUGGUCAACCCAGGUCAGUUCACAUCGAUAAAAGAAAAAAAAAAGGAUAAAACAAAGUCCUUCACAUCUACUUAAAUUUGUUUUAUGAUUUUGGAAGCAGAGGAAAAUGAAGAAAGCACAGAACGGAGUCUCCUCUUUGACGCUGAAGCUAUAUCCUGGAAAAUACCAGGUUAGCUCAUUCAAUCAAACACAGUAUCUGCAUCUAAUAUUAUACAUGUUUAUGAGCCACAAACCAAAUCUUAAAGUCGCUACAUUUUCUUCACAGAUAAAGUUCAUAGUUGAUGGCCAGUGGAAAGUGGACCCGCUUAGACCCAUUGUUACUUGUGAUGGAUAUGAAAACAAUCUGCUCAUCAUCUCGUGAGGUCAUUGCUAAUCCCACCAUCCAUGGAUCAUUGAGCUGAAUCAGUAGGGUUUUAGUUUACUUUUGUAAUUUCACUUUCAAGUAGAGCAAGGUUAGCCAGGGAAAAGCAGUAGAGCUAGCUGUAGGUUUUUUAUAAUCUUAAAAAAACGAAAAAAAUCUGUAUAUCUCAAUUUUCAUCAUUGUAAUGACUAUUCCUCUUGACGAGAAUAAUGCCAAUAAUUGACUUCUCACAUUGUACAAUGUUACACACAUUAGAGAUAUGAUACAUCCAUUUCUAUGAUGAAGAAAGCUUUUGUAUUCGCCGAACUACAUAUGUAAAUCCACUUCCGCAAUAUACUUUGGUAUCUCUCGUCCGCUGGUCUAUACUUCCUAGGCUUACGAGUUGAGGAUUGUUCUGAUCAUUGGUGUUUCCAACACCUAGCUGACCAUGUUCACCCCAUCCACAUGUCUGAACUUCUCCAUUCUCUGCAAGGUAUAUUCACAGGUUUGUUUGUUUAUAACUCAGAAAGUCUGGAGAACAAAGAGAUGAAUUGCCACCUGUUAAAGCAGCAGAAUGCUCUGCUCCUGCUGCAAUUUGCAUAACUUUAACUCCAUCAAAACCUGGAACUUUCUCCAAAAAAGGUUCAGACGGAUCUACUUGCAGUUGUUGCUUCUCGGAUUGUUUAUUAAGGGUGUUACCAAGCUUGAAAACUUCUCCAUCGACUGUUCAACAAAGUCCAUGAGCAGAGGAAUGAGUUCAAUGAGCUAUCAGAAGCUAACUCAUGCAUCUAAACAGAAAUUACCGGUUAGUAAUAAAGCAUGACUCCAUCCUAAAGCAACUUCUCUGAAGAAUUGAGAUGAGGGUAAACACUGAGGGGCUUGAACAUCAGGACUGCCGCAGAAACCUCUUCCCCAACUGAACAUUUGUCCAUUAGCUGGUUAAGCACAUCGCAAUACGAGUUUAACAAAACACACACAUGAUUCGAUCAAUCAAUGAAACUGAACAUGAGACUUAAAGAGUUAACCGGUUAUAGCUGCACUAUGAUCUCCAUUGGCUGCUAUACGAACAAUCUCAACAUCUUCUAAUCCAGAGACAAGACAUGGAAGAUUAAUUAGUGUCUUAGUUUUGUCUGAUGAGAAACCAAGCUGUCCGCGUUUCCCAGAUCCGAAUCCGCACACUUGAUUUCCUGAAGAAGACAAGAUAAAUCAAAAAUGAGAAAACAAACUUUUAUUGAAGAGCUAGUGAAUGCAGUGUCAGAUGUUUUACCUGCGAACAAGACAAGUGAGUGGCGCAUACCACAAGCUACCAUCUUCACGCUCUUAUCGGCAAAGUAAGAGACUUUAGCUGGAGAGCAAAGUGACAUGUUAUCACCAUGACCAAGCUGACCAAAUGAGCCAUUUCCACAAGUGAAUAGGCAACCAGAAUCUAACACAAAAAACACAAAAGGGAGAUCAAUCUCUUUGUCUCCUAAGCAGUUUCAAGCCUCCAUGUUAAGUUUACCUACCUGAAACAAAACCAGAGUGGCUCCAUCCAGCUGAGGCUUGAGUUACAACAUAGUCGUCGAAGAAAGAUACUGGUUUUGGCAAAGAAGAGUCGAGCAUGUCCCCAUGUCCUAAUUGACCAGAGUUUCCCCUUCCCCAUGUCAACACCUUACCACCUGCAAAUUAAAAAAAAAAAAACAUACUUUAAAUGUUGGAUCAGAAGAUACUUAAUCGGAGAUUUGAAGGGGGGGUUACCAGAAGUCAAGGCGAUGACGUGAGCGCCGCCACAAGCGAGCAUCGAUAUGGAAGCAAGUGACGUCAGCCAGAGAAGCUGCGGGAGAUGCUCGUCUUGCAGCUUAGCAGUCCCUAGUUGGCCGUCCGUUCCUGCACCCCAGCUCCACACUUGUUCUUCUUCAUCGGCCGGAGCCGGAGUUAUCCCACCGUGUUCGGCCAUCACUCGACCGUCUCUGAUGCUCAGCACAGUGACCUAAACGACGUAGUUUGAACCUAACUGGCUAAAGUUAAUUAGUGUUUUUGGGCUUAAGAUAAAUGGGCUUAACAUCGGGUGAAGGCCCACAUAGUAACUCCACUGUCCACAUGUGUGAGAAGUUGAGAGAGACAUGACAUAUCGAUGGACCCACAAAACUCCAAUGCUUCAGCACUUCCAAACAUAAUUUGCCACGUGUCGACUGUCUGACCUUAAUUCGAGACUGGAACUAUUAUUAAUGCAGAGAAAAUCUAUGUGUUUUGUACUAAAAGGUCCCACACUGACGUGGAUGGCGGUAAUAUCUGGAUCUGAGUCAUCUGAUCCGCACACGUGGCCAUUCAAAAGAUUGUGUUGAGUUUUGAACAUCGCCAUGGGUCGUGAUUCGGAUAAGAAGAGCUCUGUCUAUUUUUUUUCGCUAAAAGAUAAAUAUCAUAUAAAUAAAAAUUUAGACUUUAAAAAGAUCUAAUUAUGUUACACCUUGGCAAAAAAAACUAAAAACAAGAUAAUAACCCGAAUGAAGAUGAGCCGGACUAAUUUCCACGUUCAGCGCAUCCACUUUUCCAUGAGUUUAAGGAAUUGCUUCCUCUCUCUUCUAGCGGUGAUGAUGUUUCGUAUCUCCUUGUUUCCGGCGCAAGGACAAGCUCGGUCUAUUUUCAAUUUCACAAACUAAUUUGUUUUAUUACCAUUAAUCAAAUAGUGCUAGUCCUUUUCAAAUGAUAGAAUCAAUUCUCCUUUCUACUAUUUCAAUCAUUGACUAUUUGGAAAUGUAGCAUAUAACAUGUUAUCAACCGUAGUGUAUAUACAUUUGGAUACCUAAAUGAUCACAUCAUAUCAUUUGAAAAAAUACACACUAACCUUUGGAUUCUCUAGCCAUUGAAAAAUAUGGUAUUGUCGGUCGAGUUCUAUGAAAGGUCGUAGUACUUUAACACCAUGGCUAUAACAUAACGUACGUUUAACUUGCAAGAAAAUUAAUAUUUUAUUUAUAAGAUUUUUAUUACCAACCAUGAAAAUAUUCAACGUUUUUUUCGCCUCAAUAUGAACCCUAAGAAAAAUAAAGAAGCAGAUAAGUUAUCUUGGGCCACACGGGAUGUAGACCUACAGUGUUACAAGCUCACAACCCUAGAUUUGAAGCACUCAACGUUGGGUCAUAGUAGAAUCCGAGAGCUGCAAGCUCCGGGAAGCUGUAUUGAUUACUUCCCAAGCCUUCUUCUUCUUCUUCUUCUUCUUCUUCAGUGUACUGCGUAUUAUCGCUUUUCAUCGAGCUACCUUCUUCCCCAAGCUUCUCGGCUUCCAUAGACUGAGUUUCGAGUUUCUCUUGUAUUUUCAGCUCCUCUUUGAGAAGUGCAACCUGUUUUUGAGUGUUUCAUCAAAAUGUUUAACUUAGUCUCUGUAAAAUUCGCAUUUUAAGAAUAAAUGUACCUUGUUCUCGAGGGCUUGGUUUUGUCGAACGAGAAUGUCCCUAUCAGUUUUGAGCUUAGCAUAGCUAGCCUUAAGAGAGUCACAGUCGAGCUCUAGCUGUCUAGUCUUGAACCUAGCCCUUCUUUUUUGGAACCAUACAGCGACUUGGGUCGGCUGCAAACCCAGCUUCUCGGCCAGCCAGAGUUUCCUGUCUGGUUCGAGUCGUUUAUCUUCUUCGAAACUCUCCUCUAGUAAACACAAUUGGAUUGGUGUCAGCUUCCGUUUCUUGGUUGUCUCACGCAUCUUGUAGCUCUCACAGACGUCGUCUUCGUCCACAGUGUUGAUCUCCGUAUUGCUCAUUGAGCUAGAUCCUGAAUCAAGAAGAUUGUGUGACCAAAAUUUUGAUUCAAUAAUCCACAAUGACACGAAAAUUAAGAAGAGAAUCUUUCUAUGUCACAUGAAGUUGUUCAAAGUUUUUUUUUUUUUUGUUCGAACUUUUUAAACUCAGAGUGGAUACAAUUUGACAAUGAAGAUUCGUUAAAGGUCAAAACUAAACAAAAGGUGCAUUGGAGGAAACCCACAAAACUAAAAUCAAGAACGGUGGAAAAGAUGAAUACCAUAAAGAGCAGAUUGAGAGGUUGGAGGAAAGCAAGAAGAAUGAAACUUAAGGCAAUGGUUUUGGUUCUGGUUCUGAAACCAAACUUCUGAAUCAAUGUUUGAGUUUUCCAUUGGUGAAUGUUGUAAAUGAAAAUGCUGAGUCAAUUGCUGUAAAUGUUGAGACUCACAAGAGUCACUUUUUAUAAAGGAUAAAUUAUGGAAUUGUGAAAAAUAAAAGUUACAAGAAGGAAAAAACGAUUCCUUUUGCUUGUUUAAGUGUUUGGUAAGAAGAGUGAGACAAAGGUGCUGUUUUGCCAUAAGAGGGAUCACACUUGUGGUUUAUAAUCAGCUGAGUUCAAACAAGUCUAUUGACUAACAUUUUUUUCCAUCCAUAGGCCUCUUUAGAAAAAAACAACUCAAUGUUACAUUUAAUAAAAAGUUACUCUUUAUAUUAGGGAAAAUACUGGAGAAACGUAUAACAAACAAAAACAUAGUGAUAUAAACAUGUUAUGCAACCAGCCAACCACCAUGUAAAAGCUCAUAGCUCCUCAGUGUAAACAUGAUGAUUGUGGUUCAAUAUUAAUAAACCUCAAAAAAGAAAAGAAAAACCGGAUCCUAGUGUGCAUGAUGAGUUCACAAGUUGGACAGGAGAUGCUCUCUAAUCACCUUUGUUAUCUAUUUAUAUGCAAGUGGGUACAAUAUUUCCUUAUGUGACACAAACAAUCCCUGUGUACUAUAUUUGACGAAAAUAAGGAAAUUUUAAAAGGGACCCAUUCUUUUGUUUUCCGUCGACAUCAGAUUCUUUUGGUUUGGUUUCGUGAAAUCUGUGAAUGUCCAGCGGUGUACUAAAGUAAUAGGUUUGAACACUAUGUAUAUAAAUAAUUUUUACAUAUUAUUAUUUAUGUUGCAUUCAUUUACGUAUUAUAUAUUAAUUAAAUUAGAAUAAAUUCAUAAAUUCAAAACAAUACCUCUUAUUUAUUUAUAAUACAAUUUCUAGUAAAUAAAUCAAAACAAUCAUUUUAUUCAUGUUAUAUGAUAUAUAAUUAAAUUUCAGUAAUAUUGACAUAGAUAUAUAGUAUAUUUUAAUAUAAAUAUUUAUUACGGAGAGUUCUUACUCAUAUGAUUUAUUAACAUUUGUAUAUUUUCCGUAACAAAAAAUUUAAAUCAUUAAUCACAAAAUUUUCAAUAUGAUAUUUUUUCAAUGUAAAUUUCAAAAUUAAAAUACUAAGGUCUCAAUACGUUUUGAAUUCAAAUUUUGAAAUUAACAUAUAUAUAUAUAUAUGUAUUUUUAUACGGUAUAUAUAGUUUAAUUUAAACAAUAUUAAAAUUAUAUAUAUAUAUAUAUUAGUAUGAAUAUCCAUUAAAUGAGACUUCAUAUUGAUAAGAUUUUAUGAUCAUUUGUAUCUGCUAUAACAAAAAAGGUUAAACCAUUGAUUACAAAAUUUUCAAUGUGAGACUUUUAACAUUUUUAAUAAUUUAUAGUCUUUUCAAAAAUUCAAAAUAUAACAUAUAAGAAAAAUCUAAGAUUUUUAUUAUAUGGUUAAUGUGAUUGUUUAUUUUUUUUAAAAAUCAUAUAAAAUUAAGCAAAUAUGAGGGAGGAUACAAAAAUUGUUAUCAAAUCUUUAUUAUUCAUAAUUAUAAAUUGUCAUAUAUAUAUAUAUAUAUUAAUCAUAUUAGGUAAUUCUGUAGUUUUUAUUUAAGAAUAUAAUGCAAAAUAUUAUUUUGUACACUACUAAUCAAUUUGAUAGUUAGUUUAGUAAAAAAAUAUAAUAAAUAUUUAGAUGAACCAACUAAUUUUUCUAAAAAUACAUCCUAGUUAUGGCAAACGAUUACAAAAAAAUGUUGUAAUGUUUCUCAAUUAAUAUAUAUAAGGAAUUACAUUGCUUUUGUGUAUUCACAUGAUAGUGUUAGCCCUGAGACGAAUCGGAUAUCCGAGGUAUUUUGAGAGAUCCGGAUCCGUAAAAUUGCUAUCCGGAUCCGGAUUCGGCCUCUCUGGAUAUCCGGGGUUAGGAUAUCCGGACUAAAAUCUAAAUACCCGCGGAUAUCCGGAUCCUUUUUGAAAAAAAAUUUAAAAAAUUUAAAAUUAUAUUAAAAACUAGCUAAUUAAAAUGAUUUAUUUAAUUUAUUUAGCCUAUUAAUUUUUUUUAAAUGAAAAAUAUUGAAAUUGAGUAAAAUUAAAAAAUUUCAUUAUUUUAUAUAAAAAUUAUAUAUAGCAUACAUAUAUAAAUAUAAUUAAAUUUUAAAUAUUUUAAAUAAAUAGUAAGUUCGGAUCCGGAUCCGGAUAUCCGGACCUAAAAUUUCAUUAUCCGGAUCCGCCGAAUCCGUAAAAUCAAGAUCCGGAUCCGGAUUCGGACCCCUCAGAUAUCCAUUUUUUCGGAUCGGAUCGGAGUAAAUCCCGGAUCGGAUAACGGAUCUCGGAUAUAAGUCUCAGGCGUAGAUAGUGUAGUGCUGUCCUUUUUGUUUGGAUAAUGCCGUUUUAUGAAUUCAGCAAAUAAAAAUCUAAAUAUGUUUAUUUUUUCUACGGGUAGUUUUGUUUAAAGUAGUUUUGUUUAAGGUUUGGGUUAAAACCUAUCCAAAGUUCUUGAUUUUAUUAUCUGGAUCCAAAACCGGAUCAAAACUACCUUAAUGUUUGAAUAUCGGAGGGUGGUGGAAUGAACCUCGUAUUACGAAUAUUAUUUCUAUACUCCUAAGUUAUGUAAUGGUGAGACUAAGAUAAUAAAUUAGUAUAUAAGUUCUACUGUGUGUUAUGUUAAUGAAUGAAAUCUCAAAUUGGUAUUUGGAGAAUUAAAGAACUAAUAUAUAAAAAAAAUAUGACAAAUCUACUUAAGUUUAAAGUUCAUCUAACUUGAUAUGUUACUUCCUUUUGAGCUUGACGGGCUUAGUAUUGUUUGAAUUUGAUAUAUAUAACAUGAACAAUGGUUUCGUUGUUAAAAUUUGCACCUAAUAACUCUGACAAGGGACGAGGUGGAAGUGGAACAUAUCUUGUCUCGUGAUAAUGUGGUCCAGCACAACAUCAACACAAAAACUCCAUCAAAUUUUUAACCUCAUUUUCGUGUGCGUAAAUAGUCGUUACGGUCGAAUAAAAUGAGAUAUGCGAUUUGUUUCGGACGUGUUUAAUGUGAUGGGAAACAUUUUACAGGUUACUAGUGUGAUUUAUAUGGCUAACUUGGUUUGAGUUUUACGUAAUUAUUUUUUGAACAAUAAAUUUUUUUCUUUUUUGUGUCAAUAUAAACAGAUUCAUAUUGAUUUUGUGAACCAAAGUGGUAACUCUCCGUCCAAAUCCACGUGACCGACGAAAGACAGUUGUAUUCUGACAUUGCGUGCUAGACUAUCCGCCCUUGAAUUUUCCGUCCGAGGUACAUGAAUGAUCUCAAAACUUGCUUUCAAAAUCUUAAUGUCUUCCAGAUACAUUUCAAACGCUGGUCAUUCUUAUGGUUCCGAAACGAUCUUCACCAAAUGAGAACAAUCCGUUGCAAACAUGAUCUGAAACUGACGCAAAUUCCUUAUACAUUCCAUUGCCCAUAUUAGUGCUUCCACCUUCGCAUGAAGAGGUGAUAGAGUUGCCCUAACAUUUCUUGCCCCCAUCAAUCAAUCAAAACCCUCUAAGGUGCUAUAUCAACCUUGUCCAGAGUAAGGGUCCUUGUCUUUCCACGACCUAUAUGUAAAGUACCACCGCCCUGGGAUGGAUUGUAGAUUCCUAACCUCAACCAGUUGUUUUGCCCGAUUUAUGUUCAGCAGUUGUGCUUCAGCCCAAAGUAUUAACUCUGUUUGUGCUAAUUUGAGUGUUUCUCUGGGAUCAAUGUCAAUAUUACUAAACACUUUGUUGUUCCUCCCUUUCCAAAUGUACCAUAAUAUCCAUGCAAAUUGAUGAUCGUCUAUGUUUGGGAGAACUCUAAAAAAAAGAUGAUCCAUGUUUGUGAAGAUAGAACUGGGGGGAAAAUUAGUCGGGUUUGAUGGUAUCUUUGAGAGCGCCCAAACUUGACUCGUUGGAGGACAUUAAAAAACAAAUGAUUUAUUGACUUUUCUGAAUCUCCACAUCUAUCACAAGAUAUGUCCCUUUGUAUCCCUCGCGCUUUCAGGUUUUUCUUAACAGCUAUGCACCCUGAAACCAUUUGCCAUAAGAAUUGUUUUAUCUUCGGUGGACACUGCACCUUCCAGCAAAACGUUUUUAGUAUAUACACAUUGGGUCCAAAAAUUUCUAGUAUUUUUUCCUUAUCCGGGUAAACCCGUUCUAAUUGGUAGACAGUAUAUUUUCCAUUAUUAGUGAAAUGUUAUCAAUCCCUGUCCACCAACUGAGUCCUACUCAAUGGUAUACUUUCGAUAAUGUUUACGUCCUAGGGAUCCACCAAAGCCCGAAUCGCCUGCAAGUUCCAUGUUCGCGAGGCUGAAUUAAUGAGAGAAUCCACUGUAAGGUCCGGGUAAGUGUUUUGUUGGUUUUUAUUUGUUGAUCUCGGGCGAGUGGUUGGGAGCCAUGGGUCAUUCUAUACAAAUAUAGAUGAACCUGUUCCCACCCUUUUAAUUAAUCCUUUGUUAACCAGAGAUCUAGCAGAGACAAUGCUUCUCCAGUCGUAUGACGUAUGACAGGGAAUAUGAACGGAUCGGUUCUAAAGGUGAAGCAUUCAUGUAGUACCGUCCUUUGAAAACUAGAGAAAAUAAAGUAUUUCGCUUCUAUAUCAUACGCCAUAAUUGUUUUCCAAGUAUAGCCGUAUUAAAAUCCGUAAAAUCUUUAACGCCUAGACCUCAUUCGUCUUUGUUUAUACAUAAUUUAUCCCACAAUUUCCAGUGCAUGCCUUUUGUGAUUCCUCCAGGACUCCACCAAAAUUGAGCUACCGUACUCGCCAGUUUCUUUGCAGUUGCCUUUGGUAACCGAUAAUAACAUAUAACAUGAUUUGAACAAUAAGUUACAAGAGUAAUUUAUUUCACUCCACAUUUUGUAUAACUGAAAAUUAAUAUGAAAACGAAACCAUACGUGCUAUGGGCUGAUUUAUUUUUUAAGUCGAUUUCAUAUAUAUUGCAAAAUAUAUUGAAUUUGUUUUGAAUUGUAUAGUUAAAAUGUAGCUACAUGUUUUUGAUCAACUGAGUUUGAUCUUUAAUUUGUGUAGUUAAGACAUUAGAUAUAGUAGUAUGAAUGAAACAUAUGACUAUAUGAACAGCAUAUCAAGAAUAGACAAUGAAUAAUAGGAAGCCAUGGACGAAAAGUGAUCGGAAGGUCUUUCGAAAAGUUGCUUAAAUGUUGAAGUACGUAGAAUAUAAAUCUUGGUUUCUCCACAUGGCCACUAGCCCACUAGCCCACUAGACCACUAGAUAUUCUUGUGGACGAGUUUGGCUUAAAAGAAAACAAAAGUCAUCUAUAUACUGUCUGUAUAUAACCAUAAUGAUGAUACGAAAGGAAAUGGAUAUGCUGUUUUGUUCAAAGGAGUUUUGGUGUGGUUCAUGGUCAUCUCCCCAAGGAAUUAAUUGUUCGUGUAAAUGGAUAUGCUGAUUUCGUUUUUAUUGUUUGUAUUAAGGUUUGAUUGUCAAAGCAGUUGUAAAAGUAUUAUGCUUUUUAUUAUCCAAUCAACAAUUAUUAGAAAAAUAUUCAGAAGAUGCAAAUGCUAUUUAAGUAUUUUUUGUUCAACAUUCUCAUAUAAAAUUUUUAGUAGAGUAUUUGCAUUAAAAAUUUAUAAAGUGUUAAAAUAAUUAUAUACAAUUAAUUUAUAUAAAAGUUAUAUUUAUAUUUUUUUCAAAAAAAAAUUAGAGAUAAAUAUUUGAACUCUUUUAAAAAUUAUUUCAAAAUUUAAAUAUAAUUAAAUGUUAUUCAUUAUUUUCAGUAACAAAAUUAAAAUUAAUAUAUAUAUAUAUAAUUAUAUUUAUAUCAGCUAGAAAAUAGAAUAAUUUUAUAUAUGAAUCAUUUAUUGAUAUACUAAUUAAUUUAUUAAAUACAUUAAUGAAAGCAUACAACUUCAGCAUCAUAUUGUUAACUAGUGGUAUUCCGGCGCUACGCGCCGGGUUCGUAUGUUUUAUUAUUUUUGAUCCAUAUGAUAUUGGUAAGUGACAGUAGUGUAUUACUUUGUUUUGAAGCUGUUUAGAUCAAAAAGUAAUAGCAUAAGUGGUUUCAUUGAUCAAUUCAAUAAGAAUAGAAUAAAUAGUUUAUAGUUACACAAAGUAAAUAUUGCUGAACUUAAAACAUAAAGUAAAGUCGAUGUUCCAAAAGGGAAACAUGUAAUGCGUGUUGUUUUGUGAUUAUCUUGUUUAAACGAAAUUAAAAAUUUCUUUCAUUCUCUUAAAGUAGUAACAAUCCUCGCAUACUUUGGUCAUAUCAUGGAUGUGGCAAUCUUUUAGAGACUUCAUUUGGGACAUAUUGGUUUAAUACUUUAUUUUCAAAAUGAUACUGCAUCUAGUAAGUGAAUUAUUAAUCAUGGUCUAGCAUCGCUCGGAUCUGAAUAAACUAUUUUCUAAAGAUAACUUAUUAUAAAAUUGAAGUGUUCGUGAAUAAUUUUAGAGGUGGAUGUUUGUUCCCACAAUGUACAUUUAAAUAUUUCAGUCCUCAUGUGAAGUGUUUAUUUGGUUUGACAACAAAAGUAUAAUAUGCUAAUGUAGUUGAAUCUGUACAGUAUGCGGGAGGUACAGAGCCUCUCAUUGAUCAUGUUAAAGCAAGUCAAUAAUUAACCAUAUUCGUGAGUGUACGAAGUAGCCAAACGUUUUACUUCUCGAGUGUGUGCGAAGAUAUUAUUUAUUUGGUUUAAAGCUUUCAUGUUUAUUUAAAUCUAUUUUGGUUUUAACUUACCUUGUAUUUAUGACAUUAUACUAUUUUUAUUAUGUAUUCAUUUGCAUUGGUAUUUUAUAAAAGAAAUAAAUCAUUAUUUUUAUUUGACCAUUUUUUAUAUCUUCUACACUAUUAAAACAAAACCCCUCAUAAAAUUUUGUCUUUGAUUUUGUAAUAAUUAUAAUUACAUGUCACUCAUAUUUUAUGCAUAUCAUAAUUAAUUAAUAUGAACUAAACAAUUAAUUUAGAAAAAUAUUCCAAAACUAAAAAACAGUUAAAAUCAUGUAUAUUUUCUUCUUUAUAAUUUCCUUUUUAAAACACAUCACUAAUUUAUUAUCCUAAAAACUAUUUAACAGAUUUUUUUUUUAAAACGUACCAACUAUUAAAAAUUUAUAUAAUAUUUUUUUGAGAAUAUUAUUGUUUUGCAGUUUAGAGUUUUUUUAUAAAGACUAAACUAAACACAAUUUAUAUCUUUAUUAAAAAUAAUAAUGAAAAAAUUUAUUAAGUUUAAAAUAUUUAAAAAUAAAAUUCAGUACCUUAAAUUGAUAUUAUAAAUAUGUCAUAAAUAAUAGAACAUGUAAAUAAAUAUUUCAACAAACAAUCUAUUAGUGUGUAUAAAAUCUUUUAACUUAAUAUAUAAAAUACUAUCAAAUAUAAUAUUAGGAAAUUGCCAAAAAUACCAUUUUCAAAGUACCACUUUUCAUGUUUAUAUUCAUCAAUUUUACCAUAAUCUUUAAUGAAGGGUAAAAGACAUUUAUAACCCUUGAAUUAACUAUGACAAAAAAACAUAAGUUUAAUCUAAACUUAAAACACCAACUAUAAACCCUAAAUCAUCAACUCUAAACCCUAAACCAUGAAACCUUCAAAUCUAAACCCUAAACGAUCAAAUGUAAACCCUAAACCCUAAACUCUAAACCCUAAAUCAUCAACUCUAAACCCUAAACCAUGAAACAUCAACUCUAAACCCUAAACCCCCAAACAUCAACUCUAAACCCUAAACCCUAAACCUUCAAAUCUAAACCCUAAAACAUAAACUCUAAACCCUAAACGUGAACCCCAAACCCUAUAUAUUUCUGAAAUUCAAACCCUAAACCCUAAACCUUCAUAUCUAAACCCUAAAACAUCAACUCUAAACCCUAAACAUAAACCCUAAACCCUAAAAUCCUAAACCUUCAAAUCUAAACCCUAAAACAUCUACUCUAGGGUUUUAAUGUUUAGGGUUUAGGGUUUAGGGUUUAGAGUUGAUGUUUUAGGGUGUAGGGUUUAGAGUUGAUGUUUUAGGGUUUAGAGUUGAAAGUUUAGGGUUUAGGGUUUAGAGUUGAUGUUUUAGGGUUUAGAGUUGAAGGUUUAGGGUUUACGGUUUAGAGUUGAUGUUUUGGGAUUUAGGGUUUAGAGUUGAUGUUUCAGGGUUUUAGGGUUUAUGUUUAGGGUUUAGAGUUGAAAAUUUAAGGUUUAGGGUAUAGAGUUGAUUUUUUAGGGUUUAGGGUUUAGGGUUUAGGGUUUAGAGUUGAUGUUUUAAAUUUUUUUUUUAUAUAUACAAAGAACAAGUGCAUAAGAGUCACUUAAUGAAGAAGGUAUUUUUGAAAAUGUCAAUUUAGUGAUGGUAAAGAUG
RNAcentral lists this long non-coding RNA (46515 nucleotides) under Brassica napus (rape). Its description in RNAcentral is "long non-coding RNA (BNAP_LNC026598)". Lineage: Eukaryota; Viridiplantae; Streptophyta; Magnoliopsida; Brassicales; Brassicaceae. The record is from RNAcentral.